This 47351-nucleotide long non-coding RNA is filed under the name Sorghum bicolor (sorghum). RNAcentral's name for it is "long non-coding RNA (SBIC_LNC000284)". Lineage: Eukaryota; Viridiplantae; Streptophyta; Magnoliopsida; Poales; Poaceae. The record is from RNAcentral.
CUUUUCUUUGUAACCCAAAUCAUUCCUUUCAGUUCCUCAACCAUCAAUCAAUCUCUAAAAACUGACCAAGAAUUAUUCUAACACUUUUUAAGGAACUUGUUCCCACUUGACUAUGAGCAUAAUCUAAUUUUUAGAUGCUCCGAAUUAUCUUAUCAUGAGCUCCAAAUACUUUAUUUGGGUUCCUCAUGUUUCAUAAUAUCUCCAAGAAUUUUUCCUGAAUUUUCAGAGCUUUUGAAAUAUUUUUCAUGAAUUAAAUAAUAAUUCUGGACUUUUCUAGAAAUAUCUUAUUCACAAAAAUAAUUAAUUUCGGAAAUAAUAAAUCUUUCAUUCUACCCCAACGCUGAGCCCAUGAUCUCAAAGGCCAAGGUAUUUAUUUACUAGUGGGCUUUAAUAAUUAAUUAGGCCUAUUAGUAAAGGUGGAAGGGGCAACAUCAAUUAGUACCAUAUUGCUAAUUGAUGUAGUUGUGGAGAGUUUUCCUCCAUAUAUAUAUAUAUAUAUAUAUAUAUGUACCAACCCCUUAGGUUAAGUACAUCAAAACUACGAGGAGCCCCUAGUUUGGGAAUUCCUAAGGUAGAUCAACAAGAAAGCCGACACCAUGCCCGAUCGCCCUCAGUCCUUGGUCCAAGGUCAAGCCGCCCUCGGCUGCUGUGUCACACCCGGUUUUAAGGAACAAAACCAGACUAGCUGUAUGUGUGUCCAGGAAGUCCACACAUACAACAACAGAAAGGAAUAGUAUCAAAAACAAUGUUGUAUAGCGGAAACAUACAUAUAAUAGACAUUUACAUCAGAGUAUCGCGGAAUGAUAACUAAUCUUUAGGCUCAAUCUUUACAGGGACGGCUGACUGGGGGUAACAUAUGCCUAACACUUCUUGUAUCCUAAUAACAUCCUUCGUGACUCCAUCACCCUUCUGAUCAACUCUUUCUAGUAGACUGGAGUGGUGAGAAAUAGCAAGAGUGAGCACAUAUCGUACUCAACAAGUAUAACCAGAGGUUCAUGAGGCUCAAAUAGCUGACACUGGUUUGACUGCAUUUAGCUUUUAAUAGUGGAUAGCAUGUUCUUAAUUAAAUAGCAAUUGUCAAGGUAGCAUAAGUAAUCCAUUAAUCCCAUGAUCAAGUGUAAGCAUAAUUAAUUCAUAGCAUAAACGAUAGUCAAAUAAACAUAACAACUUAAUAAGCUCAUCGUCGGCGCAGCAAGAACCCCCAAGGCCGCUCAUAACCGUGAGCAUGGCUAGUAUACCAGUUUUACACUCUGCAGAGGUUGUACAUCUUUACCCAUGAGUCAUGAUUUACCCUUUCGCCCGAGGUAGCUAAUCUCUUAACCCCCUUCCUAGGGAGGUCGGCAGGGAUCACUAUGAAGCCUUUCAAAAGUUCGUCUAACAUGUUAGGGCCGCAAGGUUUCCUUUGCGAGCAGAUAUAGAUACCCCCCUUCCGAAUGGCACAAUGACGCGCAGCCUAUACACAUAGGGACAGGGGCUCGCACUAUACCCGUGUCGGUUCAGCCCCUCCGCCCUUUCGGGUAACCUCUAACAAGCUAAAAAAGGUCUUCAUACUGAGCUAAAGCCAGAGCCAUUAUAGCCCUCAUGGUUGCACUGUUGUCCCGGUGAUCACUUACAGACAAGAUCUCAUAUAGUUAUUUGUCAUCAUUUAACGUUCAUUGCAUAGCUAUUAAUCAUCUUACAAGAUCAUAGAUUAUAUCAAGCACUAGCACAUCUACACCAAAUGCAUAUCAAGUAGGUAGCAAGGAAUACAGGUAACAAUCAUCUAUGAUUUUGCUAAGGUCGACAAGAUGAUAGCAUGCAUAUGAUAUAUAUGUGUAGUUAUAAGUGAAUAGGUAACAAGGAUGAUCCCAAGUUAUACUUGCCUUAAACACUUGCUUAAUUCUCACACCAUUAGCUUUUGGUCAUCAUCUUCUGAUCUUCAGCGCCCACAAACGGUUCUCGUCUACUCGUAGCAAGCACCACACAUAGGCAAACAUACAAGCAACAAACAGAAAUAACUAAGAACAGUACACCACACAAGAUCACGCAAUGUACUAAAGGAGAACAAAUUACUACAGGCACAAGAUGACAAAAAAACGCCGAUAACAGAACUACGCUUAAAACAAACGACUAUGAGAAAAUUCACAUCAUAACAGUAAAGACUAUAUGCUUGCUUUAUUAUAAUUACAAAACCAUAUGAAGUAUAUUAAUUCAGAUUAGUCACUAUGCAUUUCAAUUGAAAGACCAAGUUUUGAAUCUAGUAAUUUUAAUUAUAGAUAUUUUAAUGCCUUUUUAUAUACCAAUCAAUUAUACUUUAAUUUGCAAAAACAAAGUAAUAUUUGAGAGCAUAUAAUUAAUGGAAUUUUAUCUGAUGCAUUGUUAAACUAAGCAAGUUAUAAAUUAAAAAUAUAUUUCUAUAUUGUUUUAAUUUAGAAAGCAGUGUGAACAGAGAGUAGUCAAAAUUAAUAAAUAAAUUAAAAAUUUUAGAAAACAUGAAAUACGUUCAGAUGCGACAUAGAAAUAAUAGAUUAAGAUGGGACUAAAGCGAUUCAGAUAUGAUAGGAAUAACAUAAUUGAGCAUAUAUAACUACGGAGACUCAAUGGUUGCCUGAACAAGUAUACACAAAAUGUAUUUUUUUUCUUGAUUGAGGAAUAGAUAGAUAAUGCUAAUUUAUUAUGCAUGAAUGACAUACUCAUGACAUCAGCAUAAGGGUUAAUCAAUAAAAUAAUAUGGCAAGGGACUAAUCUGGCCGCUAACCUUCAGUUAAUCAGGAUGCACAUUUGCAUGCUGCACGAUAUAGCUUUCCUGGAGUAGCAAGGAUUGGGCAAUCGUACGUCAUGCAGUUGCAGCAGCUGAGAUGACUUUGUGCUUGGUAAAAGCGUGAAAUAACAGCAUGUCUAGCUUCAUGGUUGGAUUGCAUGCAGUUACUAGAUGACAACUGCCCGUACAGAGAAGCACAAAUUCAUGGAGGUGCUCACCGAACAUAGAACGAUGAUGGAGAUGGCAGCCAGCUUGGACAUCCCACAUACGUGGUGCUCCAUGGACUUGAGAGCGGAGAUCAUGCAGAGCAUCUAGGCAUGGCUGAUGGCUACGGGCAGUCUUCACUUAGAUCAAUUAGCUCCCAUGGUGAACAGAUGACAAUGAGCCAUGGAUCGAGAUCAACUCUGUACCUGCUUGGCAAAACUUCCCGGCGGCGCGGCAAGAUGGAGGUGCGGCGCAUGAUGAGAGUUAGGGCAUAGGAUGGAUGAGAAAUUAACCAAAUAGGACAUAAAGAUAUGUAUAUGUACUGUUUGUGUGGGUUUAUUAUGGCCGAGAUAUACGUGUUAACGUUUCUUCACGUACGAGUCCUGAGUUGACGUGGUGGUCGAGUCCAUCUUCAACACGUACGACAGUAGUGGUGGUUGUCCACGCGACUUCAUAUGGUAGUAUAUAUACUCCGUAUAUAUAUUUCUCAUGCUUGGGAUAAGAAUUAAGAAAAAAAAUGGGCAUGCAGCAAAGCAGGGACACGAUAGAGGGAGCGUACAAGAUAGGAGAAGGAAACAAAAAUAAAGAAACUUGCAUCUGAGUAGAAAGCUAAUUGAACCAGUUAUUUGCUUCCUGAAACAUCACGUCAAAACUUAGAUCCAAUGAAACAAGAAAACAAUAGAUAGGGCAAGUAUUAAUGGGAGAGAGAGGGUAGUACGGGCCUUCUUCUAUCCAAUAAUAAAAGAGUAAAAAAAAUGUUUGGCCAAAAGUGAUUUAGGGUCAAGAUUAAUUCGGAACAAUUUGAAAAUUAACAUUUUUCUACAACUAAAUUUGCACUAACUCAAACUAAACUUAGUAAAUUUUAUACAAAUAUCGAAAUAUUUAUUUUUGUUAAUAUUUUCUAUGCACAGCCCAAAAUCAAAAUUUUUAGGGUGUGACAUGCUCUCCACCAGCCGAAACUCUAAUUGGCCAAAGUCAAGUUCACGUACAACACAAGGAAGAAGGUGCAUGUUCUGCAGCUCAUCUAUUCAUUCAAUUAUUCCAAAAAUCCAUACCAUCUUAAUCGUGUAUCAUUUAGUUAUUCUAAGUCUAAUUUAAUCCAUUCAACCAUGUUAGAAUUUUGUAGAUUUAAUCUACGUACUAGUACCUGUAUCUUCACGUGUUGCGCUAUAUUUAUAAAUCUUAUUAAUUUAAAUGCUAGAUUGAUUAAUGUUUAUGUACAAUUACUUUUCUAAUUUAGAAGCGAACAUACUAAAUAUUUCUGAAUUUUAUAAUCUAAAAUAUACUAAACGUUGAUGUUUGUGUGCAACUGGUUUUCUAAUUUAAAAUCCCUAUAGAUUUUAUAUUUUGGUGUUUUAUAUAUAAAUAUUAAUAUGGUAAGUUACUAACAUAAUCUUAUUUCUAAAUAAUAAAUUGCUUAGCUCAAACAUGUUUCAUAUAUGAAAUUCUAAUUAGACUAAAUACUCUCACAUAUUUAUUUCUUUUGCAAUUUGCAAAGAUAAAGCUUAAUAAUUUAUUUAGUAAAUUAGGUGAUAACAUUUAUAAAAAAAUAUAUGAUUAGCAUCAACUCAGAUUUCAAGUUUAAAUAUGAUUUAUUUUGAGUUAAUGUUACUCACAUUGUUUUUCUUAAUUAAUAUAAAUCAAGCUUAUAGUUGUUUGAUUUACGGUAUAAAUUAUUUUGGCAAUUGUUCCUUUUACAUCGUAGCUUCGACCUCGAUGGUUCUUGCGUUUUUGUGACCGUGAUCAAAUUAGAGUGCUUUUCACGUCUUUGUGUCCGUAGCGAUAGAUUAGUUUUUAAACCUUUUUAUUGUUUGGUGUACUGUACUAAUUAUAGCUUUGUUUGCUUCAUGUAUGUUUGGCUCCUGUUUGCUUGUGUGUUGCUAUUCGAUGAUCGAGUUUAGACGGUGAGCAAUUCGUAAUGAACAAGAGUGCUUUAGUGAUCAAGAUCAGAGCCUUGACAACUAGUAAGACCAACAGGAUCAACAAGAGCAUUUGGAUUAAGGCAAGUAUAGCAUUUGGAUUUUAUUUCUGUGACCAUGAUCGUAUGACUAGAUUAAUGUUAAGUAAUAAACAAUAAAAAUGACUGUUUAGCAACUUAAGGAUUUAUCUGUACGUGAUCACCCGGGACAACAGUGCAACCAUGAGGGCUAUAAUGGCUCUGGCUUUAGCUCAGUAUGAAGACCUUUUCUAGCUUGUUAGCGGUUACCCGAAAGGGCGCUAGAGGGGCUGAACCGACACGGGUAUAGUGCGAGCCCCUGUCCCUAUGUGUAUAGGCUGCGCGUCAUUGUGCCAUUCGGAAGGGGGUAUCUAUAUCUGCUCGCGGUGGAAACCUCGCGGCCCUAACAUGUUAGACUAACUUUUGAAAGGCUUCAUAGUGAUCCCUGCCGACCUUCCUUGGUAGUGCGUUAAGAGGCUGAUCACCUCGGGCGAAAGGGUAAAUCAUGACUCAUGGGUAAAGAUGUACAACCUCUGUAGAGUGUUAAAACUAGUAUACUAGCCGAGCUCACGGUCAGGAGCGACCUUGGGGACAUCUACAUUAAGGGUGAUGAAUCUUGUGUGUUAAAUAUGCUCAUUGUUUAUUGUUUAAUGCUCAACAUUAUUUAUGUCGCAUUGAUCAUGAGAUUGUGGGAGCUAUACAAUCUAGUUGCUAUACUUGUGGAGUUCGACAUGGACUCACUCUUGCUAUUUCCCCACACCCCUCAGGAGAAGUUUUGGGCUUGUGAUCAACCAGUCAGUUGGAUCCUGUAGAGAGAAGUUAAUACCCGAAGUUUGGAGUUGUCUAUCCGCUGUUUGCUAUCACAGGUUAUAUCUUUUAUACUAAGUACGUUAUAUAUUUAUGCAUUGUCUUUUGAUAUUACCCUUAUUUGUAACUAUAUGUGAGACUUGGCUUCUAAAACUCACAUAUAGUGCAUAUCUGAUUUUGUCCUUAAAAUCGGGUAUUACAAAAAGACACAUAUCUAUUUUAUUUUCUAAUCAGACGAUAUCAACAACUUGAUUAAUGAUGAUUGAUUAAUAAAUAAAAGUACUUAAUGUAAAAAUUUGUUUUUCCCCAUAGAAUAUAUUGUGUUUAUUUAAAGAUAAAUUUUGAACACUGAAAUGAACUAUACUAGGUGAAUUCCCCGCGCGUUGCUGCGGGAUUUUUUUAAAAAUAAAUUAUUAUAUACAUAACAUUACUAUAUGGUAUUUAGUCUAUUAUGUAUGUAUACAUAUGAAUUGGACUUGCAUGUAUUUUAUUGUAUUAGAUUAGUAAAAAAUUGCUAAGCUAAUAAAACAAAAACUAAUAUUUGAUUACAUUAUAGAGGAAUUAAUUGGUGAUAAAACAAAUAAUGUAUGUACAUGACUUGUAUGUGAAUAUAUUAAAGAUUUAAAGUAUUUCACAUAAUAUAGAUGGCAUGGUUAUUUUUUUAUAAUUAAUAUGGAAUGACAUGGACUUAGUGGGGAAUGAUGUGGACAUCUUGCAUGAAGAGAUAAAAUAUUUAGUGGGUCACUUAGUGGGAAAUGAUGUGGCCACCUUGCAUGAAGGGAGAAUUCAUCUAAUGGGGUUUAGCUUUAUAAGAGUUAUAGAUUACAUGAUGGAGGGAGUAUUUACUACCCAACCAAAGAUCCCUCUACCGUUGUGUUUGAUAUUCCCGCGCACUACAAGUUAUCAUUGGUAUCCAAAGAUGGAGGAGACGAUAAUCUAUUUUGUCCGUACACACGCGUCAGCCUUUUGACCAAGAUAUUAUUUCUGUAUUUUUAUUUGUAUAUACGAUUAUAAGACAGCGAUAGGCAACGGAAUGAGACAUCGAAGGAACGGAAUAUAGACGAAGAUGUACUAUUAUGUAUACUAUACCUUCACACUAAAUUAGCUGAUAAUAUAAAUUCUGUAGGAGUAUAUACGCUGAUAAGUACACAGCCAAACAGACGAAGUUGACACGUCCAUGGUUGAUGACACCUUCGCACUAACGAACGACCACAUACGAACAAAUUAAUGAAUUGACUUUGAAAGAAGUAAAAGAAGCCAAAACAAUUUAUUUUUGUCGAACCAAGAAAUUUGGUCUUUGUUCCAAAUUUCAUCAAAAACUUGUUCGUUCUAGCAAACUCAAGUUAUAUCGUGCUAUAUCCUGUAAUAUAGUGAAUUUUAAAAAUUUUAAAACAUUUUUUCUAAAAAAUAAGAGAAAAUUUAAAAGACACAUGUACGUUUAUUUUAUUUCCUAAUUAGACGGUAUCAUCAACAUGAUUAAUGGUGAUUGAUAGAUAAAUGGGAAGUAUUUAAUGUAACAUUUUGUUUCUUCCAUAGAAUAUAUUGUAUUUAAAGAUAAAUUUUGAAUGCGGAAAUAAAUUAUAUAUACUAGGAGGAUUUUCUGCGCGUUGCCGCGGGUAUGAAGCAGUAAUCUAUAUGUGUGGUGUUAGUAAUGCAGGAACAUGAUAUAAUAUAUGUGUAGAUUUAUUAGUAUAAUCGUGGACAUUAUAUCUAUAGUGGCCGGUGUUUCUAGCUGAUGUUGAUAUCAUAAUUCUUGUAUCAGUGAACUUUAAUUGCAAAUAAUAGUGGAUUGCUGAGGUGGACACCUUGCAUGUCAAGAGAAAUUGCUAGUGACAAAUUAUAAUGGAUUGUUGAGGUGGACGUCUUGCAUGUUAAAAGAAAUAGCUAGUGGGAUUUUACUUUAUAAGAGUUAUAGAAGUGGAUUGAUGAGGUGGACAUCUUACAUGUCAAAAGAAAUUGCUAGUGACAAAUUAUAGUGGAUUGCUGAGGUGGAUGUCUUACAUGUUACGAGAAAUAGUUAGUGGGUUUUUGCUUUAUAAGAAUUACAGAUUACAAAAUGGAGGGAGUAUUUAGUACCCAACCAAAGAUCCCUCCACCGUUGUGUUUGAUAUUCCCGCGCACUACAAGUUAUCAUUGGUAUCCAAAGAUGGAGGAGACGAUAAUCUAUUUUGUCCGUACAUACAUCAGCCUUUGGCCAAGAUAUUAUUUCUGUAUUUUUGUUUGUAUAUAUACGCUUAUAAUGUGGCUCGCGAUUUUGUCGAGUCUACGUUUCUUAAUGACAGGCCAUGAGGCCCAAAGUGAACUCAAAAAGACAGCGAUAGGCAACGGAAUGAGACAUCGAAGGAACGGAAUAUAGAUGAAGAUGUACUAUUAUGUAUACUAGUACACCUUCACACUUAAUUAGCUGAUAACAAAAUUCUGUAGGAGUAUAUACGCUGAUAAGUACAGCCAAACAGACGAAGUUGACACGUCCAUGGUUGAUGACACCUUCGCACUAACGAACGACCACAUACGAACAAAUAAAUUAAUGAAUUGAUUUUGAAAGAAGUAAAAGAAGCCAAAACAAUUUAUUUUUGUCGAACCAAGAAAUUUGGUCUUUAAACUUGUUCGUUCUAGCGAACUCACGUUUCUAUAGCAAUGAUAAAACUUUUGAACUUACACAAUGCAGGGAAAACCUAAAGGCAAAGUGAAAGCAAAAACAGUCCUUAACAUAGUGAAAGGUUGACAUUGGAAGAUUUGAUGCGGGUCCGAAGUUCCAAAGAUUGUAAGUCGAAGUCGGAAAAAAUAACUCGACCUAUGGGGGUAAGACAGCCCCGGGUAUUGUGUUUAAGAAAAAAAAAAUUAAGUCGAGAAAAUCCCUAAACCUCUACCUUACCCAUACACAAUGGUAUCACAGCUCCUAUGACGCUGGCUGAUCUUAGACCUGUACUUUAACAUAGAGCAGACGAGAAGAUUUUGUCAACAUGCAGAUAAACUAACGCCUCCUCCCAUCAACAAAUCCGCCUUCCAAAGAGUUCGAACUGUGGCCGGUAGGAUGCAAAGCGCACCGUCCAAGCAACUGGUCUAGCGUAUAUCAGAAGUAGGUCGUAAAUUCCAAACAAGACUGCUUCAAAUCAACUCUAAAAAAUUUGAAAUUUUGUACAAACCUUGAAUAAACCAUUUAUAAAAGAUAACCCCCAAGAGAUCAAUACUACCACGUAAAGCAUUUUGCAUGCGGCCACAUUUGUUUUCCACAUACGCCCAGCAAAGUCUGCCUCCAAGUCUAAGCAUCAAUGAUUCUGAUUUUUUUUUUUUUUUGAAGAUGCUUGUCUGUGAAAAUAGGUUUAGAAAAUAAAAAAAGGGCCUAGGCCCGGCGUCGAACUCGCUUCCGGAAGCGUCGCCACCGCUGCCCAUCCACUCUAAACACGCGGCUGUCGUCACCGAGGCCGCUCGCAGCCAGGUAGCCACCCCACUGUCGCCGGAUCUUGCUGUGGAUCCCUCCACCGCCGGAUCAAGCCAUGGAUCUCUCCAUUGUGCCGCCGUGAGGCCGUGUCACUGCGCACUCCUGCGUUGCGCCACGCCGUUGCGAGGCUCCUGGGUGCCAAUCUAGAUAACCCGGGUUGUCAUCCACUCGAUCGACCUGUCUUAAUAUAAACCAAAUACUGAGGACCCACAGGAAAGUAUCAUCUGCACCUCGUCUUAAAGACCUUUUACAGUUGAGUUACACCAACGAGCCAAUCAUCAAGCGACUUACAACACAAUCUUAUAGUGAACAAAAAAAUUUCAAACUAAAACAUCAUUGACCAUAAAAGAAAUUAACCUGCAAGAAGACAUCGGACGAGUUGGAGAUGAGCUCACUUGAUUGGAUUGGGAGAGCGUGUGAGAGUGAUUAGAGAUAGAGAGCUUUGAUGAGUGAUCCAACUGUGGAUUAGUAUCAUACUAGUUUUUAUCUAGACAUGUGAGGGUGUUAGGUCCUAGGGUUAAGGUUAAACAUUUUAAACUUCAAAAUAUUCAUCAGAUGCUCCAUCAAUUAUGAUGGACUCUCCUUCAAAAAUAUUCCCAAAGCUAGCAAGUUUGGGUUCGGCUAUAAGAGAAUUGAUGGAUGAUCCGAUAAACUUGUCGGACGAUCCAAAAAAAUGGACGAUAUGUGGUUCUAGGAACAUGCCACAGAACGAUCGGUGGGUGAGCUGUGUUUCACAGACACUCCGCGGAAUCGACAUUUGCUCCAUGGUGAACUAGGUGCUACCGAGUUCUCUGGAAACCAAUUUUAGUUAUUGACGCGCAGUCCAUGGAUCCUCAUGAAUGUUCCAUGAACAGUGAAGACUAAGUGUUUGGCUGUGAUUUCUGGCCAAGCGUUGUGGUUGACGUAUGAUCUGUAAGAUGUGAUGGAUGCUUCAUUAGUGCAUUCACACAAGUUAUGUGUUUUAUCAUUCAUGGUGUUUAUGUGUGAUUUAAGUCUAGAUCAUUGGUGAUGUUCAUCAUGUAUGUGCAAGGGGUUAGGGUUGUUUAGGUGACAUGUUGGGCUACUGAUUGCUAGGGUUGAGCUCUAGUUACCAUGUGCAUCAUAGUGAUCUGUGGAUCAAAUUAAUCAUGAGAAAAGAGAAAUUAAAUCAUGAGAAUGGGCAUGGCAAUAUAUCUUUAAGAAUUUGAUGACCUCUAGGCCACCAAGAUCAGAUAUGGGGUCUUGCUCAACCUUGCUUCCAAGAAAAAGAGAUGGAUUGGGGAAUUCAUGAGAUUUCUUGCAAAAAUCCACAAAAUUGCAUUGGGGAGAAACUUGAGAGAUCCCUGAGAGGAUUGAGCUAGAGAUGAUCUUAGCUUACACUUGAGAUGAUGGAGCAACUUCCAAACUUCACAUAUUGCAUCCAUGCAUGAAAAAAAUCAUGCAUGGAUGUAAUGUGAAGUUUGGAAGUUGCUCCAUCAUCUCAAGUGUAAGCUAAGAUCAUCUCGAGAGAGGAUUUCAAGAAAAAUGAGAGAAAGGCUUUUGAUUUCACCAUAGAUUGAGGUUGAGAUGGAGAAGCUGAUGAGAUUUGUGAUCAAUGCUGACCUUUGCUUCUUAUCCUUCCUUUAUUUCCCUUCUCUUCAUCUUUCUCACUUUCUCUCUCUAGUUCUUGCCUUGUUCUUCAUGUGUUGAGAGAGGGGGAUAGGGAAUGGGUAAGAGAGUAAGCGGGAUGGGGCAUGUUUGCUGAAGGCCUUUCCCAACUCGUGCUGACAAGUGGGUCCACUUGUGAGAGAAUGGAGGACAGCUCAUUCCCAACUUGAUUCUACUAAAGUCAAGUUUUGAUGAAUGAUCUGUCUAUUCAGAUAGGCACUCUGUCAAUAUGCUAAUUAUGAGAAAUUGAUUUAGAGAAAUGGUUCUUAGAAUUUAGAAUUAGGGCCAUUCUUCUUGUCCUAGGUGUUGAUAACCACUUAGGGAGAGACUAGAUAAGUCAACUAUACCCUUCCUCCACUAUCUUCUUGAAGUUGACCGUUAGUUGGUCAUCGAUGACUCUAGGUUGACUCUGGCUUAAGAGGAUCGAUAAGGUUGGUUAGCAAAUUUGGAGUCCUUAUCCUAGUUAAGAGCACUAGGAAUCCUUCAAGAGAAUAGCAAGUUGAUUCUUGGAAGUUUGAGGGCUUAUGCAAGGUGAUCAAAGAGGUUCUUAAGAAGGGUUUUAGUUGGAAUGACUUCUGGUCAUGACAAUUGCUGCCUUCAAUUCGCUCAAGAUCCAUGGUGGAAAAGAUUUCCAAACCCUAAGUCAUUUUGGGCCUGGUGGAGGCACGUCGUGAGAGAUGAGAGCGGGGAGGAGUUCCAAACCCUAACUCUAUCUUAUAUAUGUCACAAUCAUAUUGAGCUCGAUGGCUCCGAGCAUGUUUCUAGAGGUGGGCCGCCCACCUUUGUAAACGAAUUACAGAGAUAGAUGUUUUUGGACUGCCUCCUUAAGUAGAGCUACCACCACCGAAAAUUAGGAUCUUUUUGGGAGGCACUAAGAAUUUCUAACCACCUCCAUUAAUAAAAUCCCUUAUCUCCUAAAAUAUUUUAUGUAGUAGUGCAAGUCUAAAAGAUAAAAGCUUGAACAGAAAAUUCAAAAUCCUUAGUCUCAAAUUGGAGUUUUGUCAAUUUUCCUCCAAAUGGGGAUUUCUAUGUGCUCGUGGGAAAUCUGCCUAAGGCAGCUAUGUUUAUUCGUGAGCCCCUAUAGCACCUAAAGAUCAUUCAACGAUGUCCCAAAUACCUGAGCACAAAUAACUUCGAGAAAAUAACCUCAAGAAAUGGUAUUUUUAGAAGCAAAUUAGCUCGCCAACUGCCUCUAAGAGCAACUCCAACACUACCCUAAACUUCACUUGGCAAAUCUUGGAUUUUGCCAAGUGUAAAGCUCAAAUGCCAAGUGAAAAAAAGAGGCUUCUCCAACAGUUAGCUAUUUUUUUGGCAAAUUUGGACUAUCUUGUGAUUCCUGAAAAAAUCAGAGGGACUUUUAUGCAAAAGUUGCAAUCUAUUUAAGGCAUGCGUGCAUGCUGAAUGUGUGGGUCCCACCGCGUAGGCAGGAUGCCAAGCGCUCCCAACGCUCCUAAAUUUGAGCCAGUUGGCCCUCUUUUUGCCAAGCAUCCUAUUUUGUCAAGUGCAUAUAGGGUAGUGUUGGAGGAGCUUUUUCCAUGUUUUGCCAAAAAUUAGGAUUUGCCAAGUGCAUAUAGGGUAGAGUUGGAGUUGCUCUAAUAAAAUAGCAUACAUUUCUAGAGGCGGCUGGAGUUGUCUCUAAAAAAUUGAUUUUUAGAGACGAGUUGACUCAAAAACAAUUUUUAAAGACAGAUUUUUAUAAAGUAGCCUCUACCCAAAAAUUGAGACGUCUCUAAAAAUGGACUAUGACUGUAGACCUGUAGCUGGAGCAGGCUUGGUAUUUGUAGUUUAGAAGUUGCAGCGGCAGCGAGAGUUGGUGUGGCUUGUACCAUACUCCUAUUAAGUAAAGGAAAAUUGAUAGUAGUAUACAGCCUAAUGAGACAUAGACCAAUCUAUUUCAUUUUUGUACUCAUUAGAUAAUCGUUUAAUCAUUUCGCAAAAAGAAAAAAAUGGAUAGACACACUUAAUAAUACACAGAGUGAUGAAACAAUAUAACAUAAGCACAGGAUAAAAUAUGAGUACAUUUAUUGUCCUUAGCACAGACUGAUACACUAUAAUUAUAAUCACUCUCUCCGGUACAAAUUAAGCAGCAACAGGGACACAGUUCACAUCACAAAUCAUCUGAUUAAUUUGGUAUAAGAUUAUUGUAAGGUUUGGCCAUGAUCCAAAGCAUGGACUUCUUUCUUAACGUUAUCCCAAAGAUCUCUGCCAUAUCAAAUUCUUCCAACUUGACGCCAUCAGGUAGAGUCCAAUCAAAAUGGUAAAGAAGGCUAACAAGAGCCAGCUCUAGAUUGGCCAAACCAAGCGUUAUGCCAGGGCAUAUUCUCCUACCUGACCCAAAGGGAGUGAACUCGAAGUCAUUACCUCUAAAAUCGACACUACUAUUUUCAAAUCUUUCUGGCCUAAAUUCCUCUGCAUCAUGCCACAAUUUUUUGUCCCUUGCUAUUGCCCAAGCAUUCACGAACACCUUGGUUCCCUUUGGAACAUCGUAACCCAUAACCUGACAUGAUUCACGACCUUCUCGAGGGAGCAACAGUGGUACUGGAGCAUGCAACCGUAAAGUCUCCUUGAUCACCAGCUGUAGGUAUCUCAAUUUGAUCAAAUCACCUUCAGUUAUCUUGUCUUGUCCUUUGAAGGCCUCCCUCACCUCUGAUUGGGCCUUAUGCAUGACUUGUGGAUUCCUAACAAGCUCUGACAUUGCCCAUACUAGAACAGUUGAUGAUGUUUCACUCCCAGCAGAGAAAAUAUCCUACAAUACAAUGUUAUAGUUACAAUUUGUAAAAGGGGACAUUCACAUUUUAAUUCUCAUGAGAAUGUAAUCAGUAAACAUAAGAAUGUAAAAAAAGAAUGUAGGUCAUAAAUUAUAUUCUUGUUCACAUUUUUAUUGAGUGCCAAUCGUGCAGAAUUAAUUAAAUUCUUUUUUAUCAUUUUAGUAAAUAAGAAUUCAAUUUAUAACCUAAAUUCUUAUUUUAUAAAAUACAAAAGAGUUCUAACUAAAAUGAAAUAAGUACAUAUAAGAUUUUCAACUUAACUUGAGGAUUAAGAAACUACAUCAACUAACAAAAUCAAAAUUUAAAAUCAAGAUCAAAUAUGUCAGGUGACAUGGCUAGCAAUAAGAGAUACCAUAACUUAAGCUAUGGUUUUAACUAAAUGUGUAUUGAAGACAAAUGGACGUGCCACGCACAGAGAAAGAGAAAUUAUAAAUAUGGAUAAAAAAUAUAAGGAAUAAUUGAUAAGUUGAUCUCACCGGUAAAGAAAGAAAUAUCUAUAUUGUGUCAAAAAAAAGAAUAAAAAUAAUAGCACAAGGAUAAUUAAUUUGUUUAGUUGUAGGUACUAAACAUGGACUACGAUACCAAAACUUAUUUAGUGUAAUAAAAUUCCAUUUGCCUAAUGCUAAACUAGAAAUAAAUUAGAGACCAUUAAUAAUGGAGAGGUUUUGUAGGAGUGUGGUGUUAGAUAACUAGAAGAUAUCUCGCGCAUUGCUACGAGAAUCGCAAAGAACUUGCUUGGAAUGAAAUUAAAAGAAGAUAAUGUGAAUAGCUUGCAACUAAGGGUCCAUUUGGUAGGAUUUCUCCACCGGCUUCAGUUUGUUUGAAGCCAUUUUCUGCCACACGGUAUAAAAUAAAACGGCUUUGCUAGUGAAACUCCUUAAAACCAGCUUUAUAAGAGCGGAUCUCACCCAAAUAACCGUGCUGACAAUCUCGUUGGUGAGAGCGAACUGCAGGCCACCAUCCCUCUGCAGCCUCAGGAGAACACCCAGAAGGUCCUCCUCGUCUCGCUCUGGCGCCGUCGCCAUGGCUUCAGCUUCACGCUCAUGAAUGAUGCUCCGGAUGAUCCGGUACAUGUUCCUCUGGCACCUCCUCGCGUCCCUCGCGGCGGCGCUGAACCGGCGUACCAGCUGCGAGGACGGGUACAGGUCCGCCAGGUUGAACCCACCAAACAGCCGCACCACUUCGUCUAGCUCAUGCAUGUACUCAUCCCGGUACUUGCACCGGUCGCCGACGACCGUGCGCGCGGCGACGUCGUUUACCAUGCGGCAGAUCCCGUCGCUGAGGUUGACGGGCCGCUGGCCGUCGGCAGACUCCCUGGAGACGGAGCGGAGGAGGUUCGCCACCUCCUCUUCCCGGAUGUUCCGGAACGUGAGCACGCGGCGCUGGCUGAAGAGCUCCACCAUACACAGCUUCCGGAGCUCCCGCCAGUGGGCGUUGUAGGCGGAGAAGAUGAUGUCCUUGCCGCCGCAGCUAAUGAUCUCCAUGGUGACGCUCAGGUUGCGGUCGCAGAAGGUGAGGUCGUGCGUCCUCAUCACCUCCCUGGCGGCCUCGGCGGAGGAGACCACCAGCGUGGGCACGGCGCCGAAGCGGAGCAUCAUGAGGGGCCCGUAGGUUCCGGACAUCUCGCGCAGCGCCCGGUGAGGCAGGUCGCUGAAGCGCGACAGGAGGAGGUGGUGCAGGCUGCCGAUGAGCGGCAGCUGCCAUGGCCCUGGUGGCAGGCGAAGCGCUGGUGAUGGCUUCGUGCGUGAGGACGUGACGUAGCUCCGGAUGAGCCUGAGGAGGAGGAGGGCGAGGAGGACGACGAAGGCUAGAAACUGGAUUCUCAUCAUGUCCAUAUUUUUGCCGGGGAUGGGACAAGUUUGCAGCCAACUGCGUCUCGACAACAUCGAUGACACGUAUUUAUACUAGGGGCUUGCUACCUGAAUUCUAGUUAUAUAUAUUUAUAAUACUAAUAAAAGUGUCCUUGCAACAAGUAAAAAGGUAUAAUGUUAUCCAUAGUUUUUUAUCUUGAAAAUAAUAAUUUUUCAUUUACAUCAUUAUAUUUUUAUUGCACUCAACAUGAUGCUAAAAAAGCAUAUCAUCACACUAUAAAAAAACAAGUUUUUAGGGUUUCUUCCUCUAUAAUAACCGUUCGAUUUGUACGCCGUGCUAUAUGAGUCCUACGUCAUGUAUGAUCUUACUUUUUUGUAUAACAACCGUUCGAUCUAGAUGUCAUGCUAUAUGAGCCCUCCAUCAUCUAUGAUCUUACAUGUAAGAUUUAAGACCCAUAUUCAAUCUCACAGUAAUGCUACCCAUCAUAAGUCAUAUCCUUCUCUCUUGUGUACUGUCGACUCCCUGAUUUUGACUCGACAUAUUUUUCUUCUAUUUAGUAAUCAAUUGCUUCUUCAUCGUGUAACUUUUGCUAAAGUCGAGACCAAUAGCACACAAUUAAUCAAUAGGAGUACAAACCAAUAACGGUAAAAUUAUUAAGAUAGAAUCAUACUCAUGUAUUCUAACGGAAAAAAUAAUAACUUGAUAGUCACUUGCCCUCCAUAUACAAUGGUCAUUUGCACCGACACGGAAGCUAGCAUUGCUUGAUUUGGCUAGUGUUGAUAUACGAGGCGGACACACAUGGCUACCUUUGCGUGCAUCUUCUUGGCUUCGACAUACUGGUCGUGUGUUUUUUUCUUUUGCUAUUUUCUAGCUAUUUAACAAUUAGUUGUUACUAUCAGCGUAAUUUGUGUAAUUUUUUAUUUGUUUUUCUGAAUUUUAUAUAUUAGUUAUUUAAAAGGAAUGAUUUUAAAUAAAGUUUAUAUUUUAUAAUAAAAGACGUUUCUUCUUUACAUACCGUUUUCAAAUUAUGGCCUGCUUUUUGAUUUUUGGCCUUUUUCUUCUUAUAGCUGUUGCAUGCCCAAUUGCCCAUGGUAAAUCCCAGCGUGUUGCCUGUUGGUUAUGCAAAGUUGUAGGUAGGCUACGCGUUGUCCUUUUCCCAAUUUGAUUUUUUUUACCGUUCGGAGCACGGUUCAGAGGUGUAGAUAGAUAGAGAUAAUUUCCAAACUGAAGAGGGUCGACUUUAAAAACCAUAAUUCGAGUAGAGAUUGGAGUUGAAGGAAAAAUAUUACGGAUCGAAGCCUAUACGGACUGGAUAGGCGAAAAAAAGAUGUCUGCUGGACUGAAAUUUUCAUAAUUAUAUAUUAGAAGAAAGAUUGUAGAUUUCGUUCAUUUUAAUUUUCUAGACAUAAUUUAUAAUUUUCGGUACCGAGAAUAAAAAUUUGUUAGACAAAAUUAUAAAUCUGACAAAUGUAUUUGAUCAAAGUUAAUAUUGUUUGACUCCUGAUAAAUGAGAAUAAGCAUUCUUUUAGGCACGGACAAAGAAAUUUAUCCACAAACAUGCGUGAAGAUGUGCUGUACAUACUAUGUACCCGUACUCCGUGAUGUACAAAACUAGGACCAGCAGAGGCUAAUUGUCUCUAUAGCAGCAGGCUACAAUAAUUUGUCUCCGUGGUCCAAAACGUGGGAAGCCUGUUAAGUGGUUGUUUGGUUCACAUAUUUGUUCACUUGUCUAAGUUGUAUUUUUUCUAACAGCCAACAGUGUUUUUCUUUCAUAAUAAAUCAGCGAAGAAUAUUUUCAACUAUAACUUUUCAGAUCAGCGAACAUGCUAGUCUCAUUUACUUUCAUUUAGUCAUUUUUUAUCUAAACACUAUAACUAAAUGAGGUUAAAUGGACUUUAGUCAUCUCUAGCAAUUCUGGAAUAACUAAAUAAGACUAAACUAUUUAGAAGGGACUAAAGUUUAGCAGCCCGAAAAACACCCGUGAUGUCCAUCCAUCCAUUAUAUAAGUUGUUGCUAGGCAGCUAGGGUCUUAGUAUUUUCGUUUUAUUUUAGUAAUUAGUAUCUAAUUAUGGAAUCUCUAGAUUUAAAAGAUCCAUCUCAUAAUUUAUAGAUAACUUGUACAAUUAGUUUUUUUAUCUAUAUCUAAUGUUGUAUGCAUGUGUCCAAGAUUUGAUGUGAUAGAUGAAAAGUUUUUAGGUGAAACUAAACAAGGCCCAGGUAUAACUAGGGACGGGAUAGAUAUGCAGCCAACUACGUGACGACAAAAUCUCGAGGAGCUGACACAGAUAUAUGGACUAGAUAGAUUUUAAUAAUAUAAUAGUACGUAUCAAUAAUGUAGGAAAUAAUGGUAUACUAUACUAGUUCAUAGGAUUCAACUGAAUAUUUUUGACAACAACGUCGUAUUGUGUUUGAUACUUCCACGCAACUACAGGUUAUUAGUGGCGUCGGUCCACGAAUGUGUACGUGCACGCCGCCUUUCGUUCAAGAUAUACUAUAUGUUAAUUCUGUAUUUGUUUGUAUAUAUAUAUACGCUUAAUUAUAAGACAGCGAUAGGCAACGGAAUAUAUAUAUACACACACGAAGAAAAAUCGCUGGAGUAAAGAUAGAAGCUUGUGUAGAUAUUCUCGCUAUGGAGUAGUAGUUCCAAUCAUAUAUAUAUUGUGCCGCUGUGAGAAGUAGCCAAUCACCAAACAGGAGUGCUCAGCUCACUGAUGGCACGUCGUCUAUCCGUAGAGGCGUAGACGGGUGCAUGAGUGCAAAUGGACAUGCAUGGUUUCGAGGACUUCCCAACACACCCACAGGGCCACAGCCCACAGGUGAUGUUUGUCUCCAUGUUUCCCUCCUAUUUCCGCUGCUAUUAAUUCUCGUUGCUACGUGUUUGUUUCAGCAGCAGCGGAGCCAUUCGCACAAGGGUCGAAUCCGGAUACCGGAAACGUCGUUACCGCCCACUCCAGGCCUUAUCGGUUUAGGGCAUGUACAAUCUAGAUAGGGUCCGUCUCUAAGACCAGUCGCAAUGUAUAGUUUCAUGGUAGUUACCAAGACUAUAAACUAGGUAACCGAGUCAUAUGAGUUUUAUGAGGAUGAAAACUCCUCUCUCAUCUGAUGAGACUGCUUCAUUUAAUGACCCUGUCAAGUCAGCAAUUUUGCUUAUGUGGCACCUUAUUUAAUGUGCAUGAUACUCUCAUGAAACAUGCAUUGAGAUUGACCUAAGUAUCUCGAAUCUAUGAUACAGACAGAUAUAAAGACAGAUUAUACAAUCCAUACUUGGGGGUUCUAAGGCAUUUAAUAAUUUGCAUGUAGCUAAGAUCAACUAUGGAUAUCAACUUGUAUACCACUGUGUGGCCGUUUGAUAGAAGACAAGUUCAAGUAUAAAUAAGAUGAACAUAAUUAUAAUAUUUUAAAACCACUAAUAUAAUAUAUAUUAUAUAUAAAGAUGAACAUAAUUACAUAAGCACACUCAAAGAGGUCAGUCCACCUAAUAAUCUUGUGCCAUGGAUCCUUGCAUUGCUUUAGAUUCCUUUUCCUACGGGGUGGAGCUGUCUUGUUGUAUGAUUGAACAACAUCAGACCAAUAUUGGUUGCCACCUAUAUUAGCUCCACAGGUCGAAACUGUUGAAUGUUCUAUCCAAGAGCUCAUGCAUCAAGCUGACAUCCUCAUUCUUUUUCCAAGGAAUUUGCUUCUCAGUCCUAGCAUUUUCAUCAUCAGUGUCAACUAGUUCAGGCUACUGCUUGUCCACUCUCUCUACUUCUACUGGUAAAAUUUCUUCAUGGUUGUGAACAGGUGCACCAACCUAAAAAUUGUGUGGCUGGUUUCCAAAGUAACUCAUAAACCCACCAGGUGGGCAUGGGUCGUCUUUAUCCCUGCAGGAAACAUAACAUCACUAAAAUGACUCUAUACAACAUUACUUUAAUUUGCACUAUCUGCUUCUCAUUCACACUAACAAAUAUCAAAUAGUUUAUAAGAAACAGAGCAUUAGUUUCAUUCUCAAACAUUUGCAACAAACAUCAUAGACCUUCAAAAGGAUCUAUGACACUACAUGCAGGGAAUAAAAUAUGUCAUUUGUCAACCAUGAUGAUCUGACCAGGAUGAACACACAUGCAGCCCAUAGCCACCCUCCUGCUAUUCUUCCCCAAAUAAGAUGAAACAAAUUGCAAUAUAUACAACUUAGCACAUUCAGCAGCUACCAAAGCUCUGUUCACAUUCAGAUACAGCUAGCAAGUUCACGCAGGUUCACAUUCAGAUAAUAACUAGCAAAGCUCUAUUCACUAACAGAUAAGAUAGAAUUUCACUAACAGAUAGGAGCAAGUCCAGAUCAAUUCACAGGUCAGGUGAUUAACAAGAUGGAUCCCAAGCUGCUGAGCGCACAAACGAAGGAGAAGCUGGAUCAACGUUGGUCGAAUUCCACCAAGCAGUAGAUGGUGAAGUGGGGAAUGGAAACCCACCGAAGACGAUGGAACCGUCGCAGCACUGGGGAAGGCACCUCCACUAGAUGUACCAAUGGAGAUAGGAGGUGUUGCCAUGCUGUUGCUGAGGGAACAGGAGAUGGGGGUACCCCGGUGCCACCACCGCUGAUCCACUUCCGCGACCUAGGGUUCAGCCCAGGGCAUCCGCGCCCAACGAUGAGCCUCCACCACGACUGAGGUUGUAGUUCGACGCCGUCGAGAUGGCUCCGCGACCGAAGGUGUGCACCGGGAACACCGCUAUCGCUGUCGCCGCAGUUGACGCAACAAUGGGGGUGUCCUUGCUCUUCUUGUUUGUGGAAGCUAGUUUGCACUUCCUCGCUGAGGUGCUAAACAUCGCAGCCACCAAAGGUUGGGGUGCCCGAUUGAGAAAGAAAGCUAGAGUGUUGUGGCUGCUUCACCGGUGAAAUAGGGAUGAGGCAGAGACGGAUUUGGCGGGACUGCUCCCUCCCAUGCGCGCCAAAACUUCAUUAGCAUGCACGCGAGUGCCCCAGAUCCGCGCGCCGUCGAGACAAGGGGACGACUCCUACAAUGCUGCUCGGCUGGUCUCCUUUGCAUCGGUGCAUGGGACGGCUCCGUCGCUUCACGAGACGACGGAAUAGUCGUCUUCAGGCCACAACGGCACAACAGAUUUUUUUUGUAAAAGUACCCACGAAAGGACGGGGUGAAGAGUUUUUAUAAAAGUACCCACGAAAGGACGGGGUGAAGAGCCCCGUUGUACAUACCCUUAUUACGCAACUCACGUGAGAAUGGAUAAAGGAUAUCUUAGGUUGGAUCCUAUGAACUAAUAAGUAUAAUUGAAAGUUUAGUCUUUAAAGAUCUAAACAAAUGAACUAGUUAGUGAGCUAACAACUAGCGAAAGCCUCAACUAAUUGUUACUUCACUAGCAUAUAGAGCCCAACUAGUUGGGCUAAUCACUAAUUCUAGUUCAUCCAAACAGCUCCUUAACCAACCAAACAAAUUGUCGUUUUUCAUUUCAGGCAACAGGUAGGGGCGGCACCCAUUUUCAUUUGCAGUACAGCCCCGAACUAAACAGAGAAAGAGAGACACACAUUUGGCGGCCAAAAAAUCUGGGUUUUGAUCUAUCAUUUUGCAUAAUAAAACUAAACAUCAUGCAAAAAUUUUUAGCAAAAAAAAUUAUUCUUCAUUUUGGAUUUUGGUCUCAGGAGGCCAAAAGCCCAAAAGAGUUACAAGAGACCAUAAUAAGAGCAAUAAAUUCUGUAUUCUAGACAAAACUAAAUAUAACCUUAAAAAUGUUAGUAUUUAGUAUUUUAUCAUUUCAAGGUAGUCGGCAUUUUGCAUUUUGCAUUUUAUGGGAAAUUAAACACCCCCUAGCACAACCAAAUCGUCAACUCCCAACACUGCAGGCUUGAUGGAGCAUCAUUACCACGCUUCGGUUGAAGCUAAGAGCUGCAAAGCAUUUGCCAGUGCCAUUACCACCACCAUUUCAUGUUGCAUGGCUUGACCGGUCGUAAGAGUCCCAUGCACGUCGCAACUCGCACAGGCAUUGCUCUUGCUCGCGGUGCCAUGAUUGCGCCUUUCACAAACUCAUAGUUGAUCAAUUGGAGCACUUGCGAUUAUUGAAUCAUUAUUGUACUACCAUUUAGUAUGAGAUUUGAAAUUUACUUAAUUUAAUUGGAUAAAUAACAGGCCAUAUCUAAUUAAUUAAGUCCAAGAGCUAACAAUUCCAGGCUGUAAUUAAUUGUGCGAGAUGAUGUGUUCCUAGUCCACGAUGACCUUGAGAAGGACAUUGAGGAAGACGAAGGCUGCAAACGAGAUCCUAGUUUCCAUAUCUGCCAGGGAUGGGAUUUCGGUGAGCUAGCUUAAAUAUAGAGUAUUAUGGCAUCUAGAAAUUAACAAUAAUACAGCAAUGCUUUACAGCACUCAAGUGUUUUACAGCAAUUCAACACUCAAUUCCUUUCUGUUCUCUUCCUCUCCCUCUCUUCUUCUCUAACUCUGGCAAGCUUAGAUGAGACUGUGGGAGGCAGGUCGGCCAAAUGGUGGAAACGGCAGGAGGACGACGGUUAGAGUUCCAGCGGUGUAGGAGGCGGUCGAACUAGGUCAGGGCGAGGGCAUCUAUGGCCAUACGACGGUGAGGGGAGGAGAAGAAGAAGGUUGUUGUGGGCGUAAUAGGGUCUCAUCGGAGCUCAAGACCCUACUGCACUGAGGCGGGGCAGUGGACGACGGUAGGGCAUCGGGAGGAGGAAGAGGACGAUGAAGAAAAAAUCAAGUGUUCUCGAGAGCCAAAACACUCAAGCGACAGAUGAUAGAUCCUAAUAUAGAAAUGCAACAAUGUAUCCAAAGUAUGGAGGCACUGCUGUGUUUGUUAUUCCCAUCCUAGAGGUAAUCUUUGGUGUCCACAGGGAGAUAUUUAUUUUGUUCGUGCCUCUCGAGCCUCACCAUAUCAAUUCUAAUUAUGUUUCCGUCUAAUGCUCCGUAUAUAUAAUACGCUAAUAAGAUAGUGAAAUAGACGAAACUGAUCGACACAUUAGGUUUUUUUUACAACAAAUAUUUUUCAUUUGAGCAGCAGGACGCUGCAAUCAGUCUAACAGACUGAAGGUUUACAUCUAUCAGAUGCAUCAGGAAUGGGCACUGAUAGGUAAGGCUCUGAUGAGAGCAUACAUGAUGGAAGAAAGAUUCAACAGGAACAAUAACUGAGAAAGCCUGUCUAUCUAAAGCAUAUGUUGUAUUAUUUAUGUUCCUAUUGAUUUUGAAGAUCAUGGCAUGACAUUGAUCACCUGUGUUCCUGAACAUCUGGGUGAAAAAGGUUUUAUCCUCCAGUCUACAGGAUGUUCUUGGUCAUCUUCAUGUAGGAAUUGUACUAGCUGCUGGUUAUUAGUGAGAAAGGUGGUGUCAGUGAAGUUGAGUCGUUCACUAACAACUGCUGCUAGAGCAAGUGCUACAACUUCCGCCAUGAGGACUGAGUGGACUUCCAAGGCUUGUGCUGUGAUGUAGAUGGUUUGUGUGGUUGUACCUAUGGAUUGACAAAAAAUCCCAAGUCCUAUAGCUAUAUACUGCCUGGUUGGUUGGUCAUACCUUAAGGAGGCAUCAAUGAAGCAUCUGACUCCUUGGAUGAGCUCCAAUAUAGAGAUGAAGUAUUUGUCUGUCUAAGGUGAAGCUCUUGCAUUAGAUGUGAUAAUACCUGGUGAAGUCGGGGUGGCUUGAUUUGUGAGCAUCAUUUUCUAGGGGGUUUGUGCUUGUUGUUCCUCCAUAGGGUGUGAGGUGCAGGUUCCUCCUGUUGGUGCUGCAUGUGAUCAGGUGCAGGCGUCUCCAUCUGUUGAGGUGUGUGGCUGUGAUCCUACGAAGUAAUAGCAAUGGCAGUUUGCGUACCUUGUGCAGUCAUUUGUGGGGGUUGAGGUGGGAUAAGUAGAGUGUCGGUUUGGUGGCUGCUAAUGUGGGCUACGACCACAUGGUGUACCUGCCAUGGAGUCCAAGUUUUUCUGUGAAAUCAAAUAUCAUUCCUAGCUUUCCACAAAUACCAGAAAGUGAUUAGUAAUUUGUUGAAUACAGUAGAUGGGAUGGCGGCGGGGAUGAAGCUUGGUAGGAUUAGUUGCACGCCAUUAGUAUCUUGAGGUAAAUUGUCAGUGCAAAGAAGGGGAUUUGAUGAGAAUACUGUUGUGGGAGGUGAUAGUGGAAGAAUAGGUGGGCAUCAUCCUCCACCACGCCAUAGGAACAUAGUGCUUGUCUAUGUGGGGGAGUAUCUCGCUGCUUGUUUUGUUGUAGCUAGGGCUCUUUUGAUGAGUCUCCAAGUGAAGGAUUUAACUAGAGAUGGUGGCUCCUUACUAUUCCAUUCUCUCUGCAUAAUGGAGUUAGCAUGGGGUCCACCUCAAGAUGUCAUGACCAUCACUAUGAAUAGUUGGUGUUACAGUUAUGACCUGUACAUCCUAAGCAUCAAAGAUGUUAGUGAUGAGGUGAACAUUCGUGUUAUGGGAAUUUGGUUGCUAAAGAUUAGAGAAAUGGUUGGCAUUGGAGAUUGAGUAGCUAGCAGGAUCAUGUGGUCAUGGAUAGAGUUCCGAAUGGGCACCAAGGGGUGGACCAUAUAGAACUGUUACUUGAAUGGAUCUAGUAGACAGAGUUGGAGCGAAGUUUAGUUUUGACCUACAAAAUAGAAGACCAGAAGAUUGAUCUAGGACCAGUGGUGUUGGCUUUCCAAAAGGAGGUGUUGUGGAACUAUUUAGCCUUAAGGACAGAGGUGAGCAUGGGGUUUUUAUUAGUAGCAAUGUUUGCCAAGACCCCCAUUCUUCUUGGGCUAGCAAAUGUCUUCCCAAGACAUGAACGCAAUGGGAGAUGUAGGGUUGUCUUUCUAGACUCUAGUGCACCAAAAUUUCCUGAUUAUAGUGUUGAUUUUACCUAUCAUAGUAUUAGAAAAUAGCACAGUACACAUGUAGUAUACAGGGACCAAAGCUAGGACAGAUUUGAUGUAAGUCAGUCUCCCUGCAUGAUUAAGCUUGUUAGCUUUCACAGUAGUUAACUUAGCUCUAAAUUUUUUAAGAAUAAACUCAUAAACCUUAUUCCGAUCAUUACGAUUAAAAUAAUCAGGUGGCCCAAGGUGCAUGCUAUUAGGAAGGAGGUCAGGGGUAGGAAAGAUGUUCCUGAUAUCAUUUCUAGUGGUCAAAGGCACCUUUUUACUAAAAAGGAUUGAGGACUUCUAAAGAUUGGGAGUUUGCCUAGAGAGGUGGCAAAAGUCUUGUAAAAUGUCCCAGAUUUUGGUGGCUUCAAUGAUGGAGGCCUCGCCACAUAAGAUUAGAUCAUCAACAAAGAGAAGAGAGUGAAUGGGAGGGCAACUAGGACCAAGGGAAAUGCCCAAAAAAUUGGAGUAAUGAGUUCAGUUUGAAGGUGAAUGGAUAGCUCAUUGGUGGCCACAACAAAAAGACAAUGAGAGAGGGGGCAGCCCGGGCGAAUACCAUGAUGGGGAGUGAAGGAGGUGGAAGGCUCUCCAUUGAUAAGGAUGGAGAAAGUAGUAGUGGAAAUACAAGCUUGAAUGAGGUUGGUGAAAUUGGAGGGCAGCCCAAGACGAUUUAGAGAGUCCCAAUUCAGACAAUCAAACGUUUGGCCAGGUCAAGCUUGAGAUAAAAAAGCUUGCUGGUUCCAGUUUUUUAGGUUGGAAGAGAUGUGCCUGUGUUUUGAUGAAUGCAACUUAAGAUUAUUGAGUCAAUCGACAGCAACUUUGGCGUUUAGUAGAACACAGCAUGGUGCCAAGAUGAUACUACGAUGUCAGCAAAAACUUGUGGGAUCCACCAUUUAGUAAACGAUUAAAGAAAUUUUGAUUUCUUUUUUGUCGUUUCUGCACACCUCCAUGCCUACCAUACGUGUACUGUGUUGUUUUCAGUGGCGGAGGCAGCUGGCAAGGUUCGGCCUCCGCCGUACCUAAAAUGUAUAGAAAACACUAGUAUAUUAUGUGUAUAUACGGUUAUACACGUGAAAUAUACAUGGCUUAGCCUCUGCCACUGUGCACGAAUAGAUUUUGUUUGUGGGCUGGUAUCUCGUGGGCUUACACGACUACGAGCCCGUUCGCUUCUUAGCUGUACUUUUUUUCAGUGAUUUUUUUUUGACCAGCGAAUAGGCUCUAUGUCAAAAGCCCACGACACUAUCCAUAGAAGGAAGCAGCUCAUUGGUCUUCCUGCCUUCCUGGCUGGUCGACUACUCCAGGUUUUAGUGGCCGACUUGUUUAGUUUCAAUUUUUUUUAGCAAAAUAGAUACUGUAGCACUUUUGUUUGUAUUUAACAAAUAUUAUUCAAUUAUAGACUAACUAGGCUCAAGAGAUCUGUCUCGCAAAUUAUAGACAAACUGUAUAAUUAGUUAUUUAUUUUAUUUAUAUUUAGUGUUUCAUGCAUGCAGUGGCGGAGGCAGGAUUUUUGCUUGGGAUAUGCCAAACAAAAAGUUUUCAUAUACAAAUCGGUAAAAUCUAUUUAGCAAUUCGGUAGAAUUUUAUAAAAAAAAUGUCUAACAAUUCGGUACACAACUGUUAAGGCCUUGUUUAGUUCCAAAAUGGACAUUGUAGUAUUUUCGUUUGUAUUUAAUAAAUAUUAUCCAAUCAUAGACUAACUAGGCUCAAAAGAUUUGUUUCGCAAAUUACAUGCAAAUUGUGCAAUUAUUUUUUAUUUAUAUUUAAUACUUCAUAUAUGUGCCGCAAGAUUCGAUGUGACAAAGAAACUUUCAAAAUUUUGCUAAUUUUUUGGGACGUAAACAAGGCCUAAAUGGCAUAAGUCGUGCGUCCAUGGUGUGUUUGAAAGGAGCGUCCGAGAGCAGGUGCGAGACGAAUACCGAGGUCUUGUUUAGUUCUUCUAUGGUCUCCAAUGGGAGGGUUAGCUGAUCCACAUUAGUUAACCACUACUCCACAUUGGGCAAAGUGAUUUUGUUAACGCACGUAGCCACGGUAAAUCAUAAUUAAAGAGCCAUCGUGAUCAACUUUCAUUAUGUGAGCUUGAACAAAAUGAUCAACAUCAAGAGUUGGCCUACAAAUAAUUGUAGAGCUUUGCUAAAUUUCCACACCCUUUCUCCCACUCCAAAAAGCCAAAGUGCUCAAUCCUUAAGCAAAUCAUUCCACCAGGAGAACAAAAGCAAUGUUGUGGUGAUCAACAUCAAGGUAUAUCUGUAGAGCUUUGCUUUUACCGGUUAACGUGCAAUAUGAGUGCACAAUUAUGUUUAGGAUAGAUUUAUUAAGCUAAUAUUGUUAUCUAGUGCCACUAGGUGGGGACUAACAAUACACAUGUGUUAGACUCAGUGACAUGGUGAGGAAGCAAGUGAAAACCUUUGAAAAUGCAAACUCAGUGCUAAAGGUGUUAUUGUUCCGUCUGCCACAUUUGGGAGAUAUCAUAUUUGAAAAAGGGUUUAAGAGAGGGGCUUGGUGAGAUGGUUUGAAUAGUCACUAGAUAAGUCCGGUGGUCAUCAGAGCUUAGGCACACCCACUUUACUAGUCUAGUCAUCAGGCUGUCUCACUCUGUAGUGGGCCACCAAAAAUAUCCAUGCCUCUAGGUCCGAGCACUAAAGUUUAGGCUCCUUCACUUUGGGAGAGAAGGGGACGCUGGACACGAGGCAACAAUCGGCAAUGGCUGCAAAGCACACAAAGUUUAGAAGGAUAAAGGAAGACGACUAGAGGAGGUUAAAUAGUCAUUUCUAUAACUAAAUCAUGAAUCCUAGGCAAAUAAAUAACAUUAAUAAACUAUUUGUCACUUCCCACUAUAACAGCAGAAAUAAAACAACAGAGAUAAUCUAUUUUCAUAACAAUACAAUAAAAGGUACAUGACUCAUUAUUUCCAUGAUGAUUCCAUCCCUACCUGCGAGCGUGGAAAGCCUAAAAAGCCUCUCUCCACGGCCUUCCUAAAAAAAGCCCACCUGGCCACCUGUAGUUCAAUAUAAGCUACUGGAGAAGCUAGGCGUUUGGUCCAUCUCGAACCGCUUUUAAAGCUAAACAGCCCAAUAACCCAUUUCAAACAAGGUCGAAGCCCAAUGAGGCAGGUGGCCCAAAACCUGACCCGAUUCUCUCCCAAUUCUUUUUCCUCGUGUUGGAAUCGGAAUUGGAAUUGGAAUUUGUACGUAGUGGCGGCGAUAUCUGGUUCAGAGUGGGUGUUGAUUCGUGGAGAGCAGCUGGUCGGGCCCAUCCGCGCAGUUGGCUUGGCUUGGCCGCUGCCGCCCGUGCUCGCACCGGCCGCCCCACCUCCAUCUUCCCAUGGUGGUGGUAUCAUCCCCCCCCUUUCCUCUUCCUCCUCCCCACGUGCAACCACCUAACCCCUCUCCCACCGCCCUCCUCGCCUAGCCCGCCGCCACAGCGGCCGUCGACGAGCGCCAUGCCCGCCGCGGCGUCCACCUCCGCGACCUCGCUGCUGCUGGGCGGCGGCAGGCUCCCGCGGCUCCAGCUCCAGUCCCUCCGCGCCCCCGCCAAGCCCCCCUUCCGCCGCCCGGCCUCGUCCCCGUCCACACCGCUCCCCAGAUGCCGCGCCAGCGCGAGCCCCCGCCCUCUGGGCCCCGUCUCCGCCUCCGCCCUCGCGCUGCCCGUGUCGGUGACGGCCGCUCCCCCACCGCAGGUGGAGGAUGGUGGCUGGGUGGGAGGCGCGGCCGCGGCCGCGGCCGUGAGGAGAGUAGCUGUGGCGGUGGCGUGCGGGGCGCUCGCGGCGGCGUGGUGCCGCCGGGCGAUGGCUGUGGGGGCGGCCACGGCGGCGGGAGCGGGAGCGGGGGCCGGGGCCGGGGCGACGGGGGCGGUGGAAGCUGCCGCGGGGAUUGGAGGGAUGGCGCUGCACGGGGGCUGGCCGAGAGUGCUGCAGAUUCUGCAGCUGCUCAGGGAGCAGGGCCUGGUUCUGGCCGCGCUGCUCGGCCUCUCUGCGUUCUUCUCCAUGGCAGAAACUUCUAUCACGACGCUUUGGCCUUGGAAGGUGCGUUCAGCAAGUCUACGGAGACCCAUUUUCUUAAACUCCUGUUGUUGCCAUAGUAAUUACUGUACGUACGCGAAAUGAACUAUGCUUCCAGUUUUGCAAUCGGUUUGGUUCACUGAGCUACGAGGUAGGAUAUUGGGAGAUUUUUGGAUACUUAGAUGAGCAGAUUGGUAUUGGUGUAGUGUUGCUGCUAAGAGGGGAUGCUGAGAUGGGGUGAGUGUCUUAUGGGUACGUCCUUGUAUCAACUACUAUACUCAUUCUAAAUGGGUUUAUGCAAUGAGUAUUUGUAUGAACAAAGCAAACGGAUACGCACUAGCUUAGGCUGUUGGGUUGGGCUGUGGCAUGUGUGGGUCGAGGAUGUGGCGGUUGUCAUGCACAUCCUGCUUCAGCAGUGAUGUGAUAAUUUUGUCUCGCUUGCUGAUGACAUAAUCCACAGCACAAGUUUGUAUUUGAGAAGUGAUGUCACUGCUGGGAGUGUUGCUGAAAGACAUGGGGAAAGCAUUAUUGCUCCUUCCUUUUUUUUGUAGGAUAGAGGGCUGAGCAGCAGGCAUAACUGAUUGACAAGCUGACAACAGCAAGGUGCUUCAGAUAUAAUGACAGUGUGCACAUGCGCUUUAGUGACAUGUUGUGCUAGUGAUCUGUAGGAGAAUUAGGCAGGGAAUCUAUGCAAGGAAAGUUUUUAUUAUUUUGAAACUGGAACUAAUGACACUGGUAUUGGAUUACCGGUCUUACUGACUUUAUAUAUAAUCUCCCUUCACACCUAAUCUCAUCAACUGGAUAGGUAUUUCUGGUUCAGAAUAUUUAUAGCUUUGAACAGAACAUUGGUGCUCUUGUAACUAUCAUUAAAGGGGUCCUGCCUCUUUGUUCAUGUUUAUCAACAUUUAAAUUCAAUUCUAAUUCUUCAAAGACUACAACAAGGUGAUCAAUGUAAAUUGAUGGCUGGAUUCGGUUAAUCACAUGUUGAACUUGCAUUUUAUUUUUAGUAGAGGUUUAUUUGCAAGCACAGGAAUAAUGAAGCCCUAGGUUUAGUGCAUUUUUUCCCUCCAGAGUUGAGCCUAAGGAUUCAAGUUCACUGACACUUAUCAUUGUGGGUUCAAGCAUUUGCACACAUAUUAGCAUAUUGAAAUGGCUAAAGUAUUAGAGGUUGGUGCUAGAGUCUUUCCAUAACAGCGCACUUGGGACUGAAGUUUGAUUCAUGCAAAAUUUUUCAAUUGAAUCAUGCUUGAUGUUCAAAAACUAGCAAGAAUCAUAGAAAUAGCAACACUGUAUUGUGUAAUAGGUUGCAUACCUUUUCCCCCUUUGCAUUUGUUUAUUUUUCUAACGUUGUUUGGAAAUUGCCACAUCAAGGCCUAAUUUUCUAGUGAUCUGCCUAGCGCCCAAUAGCUAGCUAGCCUCUCUACUCAAGCAUUGAGGCAUCACCCCCUUCUACCCACCUAGGGCAUUUUCAGAUCAGUGUUUUGAAACUUUGCUUCGUAGUGGUACUCUUUUCUUAUUGUAACUGACUGUAUGCUGAGAGCGAAUAUCUAUAUGCUGAGACUUUGCUGAUUUCUUUUUUCCUUUGCAUUAGGUUCGUGAACUAGCUGAGAAGGAACCUGAGAAUGGUGUUUUCAAAAUGCUCCGAAAUGACGUCACUCGUUUCCUGACAACUAUUCUCAUUGGCACAACGUAAUCCAUGGCAUUUCUAAGUUGUGCAUCACUCAUUGCAAUUUUGUUUUACUAACCCUAAACCCUAAUCUCGGGCAUAAUUUGUAUGAAAUAGUGUGGUCAACAUUGGCGCAACAGCAAUUGUUACUGAGGCAGCAACAGCAAUGUUUGGUGAAGCAGGUGUUAGUGCAGCAACAGGUGUCAUGACAGUAUGUCUCCUGUCUCAUACUGGCCUUCUGCUCUUGUGUAAGUGUUCUUUAAUCUAACUAUGGAGCACCAUUUUUUAGGUUGCCAUCUUACUUCUUACAGAGAUCACUCCCAAAAGUGUUGCAGUCCAUAAUGCCACCGAGGUCGCUAGGUUUGUGGUAAGGUGAGAGAUAUCAAGUAUAACUUAGUUUCAAACAUGUUUAUUUUGAGUACUGAACAUUGUGCAUUUGUUGCGAUAUAUCAGACCGGUCGCAUGGCUUUCGCUGAUCCUCUAUCCAGUUGGGCGGAUUGCUACUUUUCUGUCUAUGGGAAUGCUAAAGAUUCUAGGCCUGAAAGGGAGAAGGUAAGACUGUAAGAGUAUGUAUAAUACUCUAGUUCUUGAUCAACUAGAAGAUAAAUUCUUUGAAAAUAUGCCAACUCAAUAAGCUCAUGUUAGUCAUAGAUUAUAUCCCCCAUUAGUUAUGAUAUGCUUUCAAGAAGGAUACACAAACAAUAAAUUAAUUCAUGCCACAAGAACCACACAGAACUCUUUUUUAAGAGCAUAUGGCUUGCUCUGCGUAGUGGAUAUAACCAGGGAAGCACAAGGAUUGAGUUUCUAGGUGUGUGUGGGUUCUGCUCAGGUGGGCAACUCUAGCUUCAUCCAUCUGUAUCUUUUUCUUGAUGAAAUGGCAUGCAGCUCUUUUGCGUCAUUCGAGAAAAAAUAACCAGGGAAGCACACUGAUUGAGUUCCUGGUUCCUGCCAAAUAAAAUCUCACCUGUUUUCUUUUAAAAAUGGAUUAAACUUGUAUAUUACUAGAAUUCAAGUACAAAUGAGAUGGUACAACAUGGACUAGAUUAGACUAGUUUGAGUAUGUGUUGAGUCUAGUUUAUAGGGUGAUAGUUGUACUUUCUAAAAUUUCUAUAAUUAGUAAAUAGUGCAGUGACUAUAUUUUUAAUCAAUAGAUGACCGUUGACACUAUUCCAAGAAUUGCAUAUCAUCUGUUAUUGUUCAUGAAGGAUCUAAUUCUAGUUUGAAUUUGCUAGAAACUUAUUGAUUGCUUUCUGUAUAAUUUAGUUUACAAAUUGAAUUUAGUAUCUGAUAUUGUAAUACAAUACACAUUUGUAUGUUAUUUUUUGCAUUUUUUUUACAAAAUCCAGUACUCAAGUACAUUGAUUUGCUAUGUCUUUUAGUUACUACAUUUGUAUAUGUUUAACCAAUAUACAAUUGAGAUUCCUAUAUAGAUAAGAUUUAGUUUUUCUUUUUCAUAACUCUUGACAUUUCUGGAGAUCUACUUCUGAAUCUUGUGCAUCAUAUACACUUCUUUCCUCAGUGAACCAUAUGUUACUGAAGAUGAACUGAAGUUAAUGUUACGAGGAGCAGAGUUGAGUGGUGCAAUUGCAGAAGAUGAACAGGUUAGACAAUCUAGUAUAUGGAGAUGCCCAUAUAUUGUGCUGCAUAUUUCCUUCUUUAUUCUUUAUGUUUCUGUGUACCUCACAGCAAGAUUUUGUUAUCCAGUGCAAUCUAGGCAAAGCCUUUACUUACAAUUUUUAUAUCAUAUAGAAAGCUGACUACUUACAUAAAUAAAGAGUGAAUUAAUGAAAUUUCAGGAAAAUAGUAACUAACGUUUUUGCAUGAUUUUAACUGCUAAUUUAAUGUUUGUACACCAUCUCAUCACAUAUAUCCAGAAUUUGAAAAGCAGUAUGGCCCCAAAGGUUUGAGUUAGAUUAUACUGUUGCAGACUAGGAUUUUGCCUCUUGAUAGUUUACUAGCACACUUUGGCUACUUCUUUGUUUUCUUGAAAACGCAGGAGAGCUGCACUUCAUUAUAUUAAGAGGAUAAAGGGCAAGAGCCCGAACAACCCCACAAACACCAUACACACACCACACACAUCACACACUCACGCCCCAACAGAAAUGUUACAUUCGCGCCCGUAAGAAAACACACAACGCGACCACUACUAGGCUAAACAUUUCUAACUAUCGGGGAGGAGGGCAGUCAAGAAUGAUAGCUCUCGAGCUGCUGCCAUAGACCAUAAACGGCGCUCCUCGCCUGCUAUGAUCAGAGCGCCAGCAAGGUUUGGAGCUGCUCCAUCAAAGACACACCCAUUGCGAUGGUUCCAUAUAGUCCAAGCUCCGAGCAUAACAAGAGAAUUAAUUCCUUGCCUUGUCAGCCCAUCAGCAGUGCUGCUAGCCUUCUCCCACCAAGCAUGGAAGGAUAAUUCUGUAAGCUGAGGGGACAAAAGCCUGAUUGAACCAAAAUUCUCUUGUGAACACACAAUGGACAAGUAGAUGGUCGAUAGUCUCCUUUUCAUGGUCACAAAGGAGGCAAUUCUCCGGAUGAGGUAACCCUCGGCGUGCUAGACGAUCAGCUGUCCAGCACUUAUUGUGCGACCAGCCACAUAAAGAAACGGCAUUUGGGCAGCACCCAUGAUUUCCAAAUCUUUUCCCAUGGUCCAAAAAGAGUAGAUCCGAAAAAGAAGCCUUCAUAUGCCGAUUUAGCCAAGUAUUGUCCAUUAGAGGAGAGCCUCCAUAGGUGCUGCAGCUGAAAAUCCAGAAGUAGAUCCCACCAUAAGUGAAAGUAGUCAACAAACCCACCAACUGUGAGCGCUCCUUGUAUGUCCAAAAUCCAAGCCCGGUUAGUAAGGGCAUCCUGGACAGUAUGCUGCUUAACCCUCCUUUUAGGAGUAGCCACAAAAAGUCGAGGGGCAAGAUCUGCAAUGCAUUGCCCAUUGAUCCGAUCUGUCCAGAAAAGAGUGUUUGCACCAUCCAAUUUCAGAAGUUACUGCCACUGAGUAGAAGGCUCUUACUUGCUUCGGCACAUGGAAUGGUAGAGCAGCCCAAGGACAAUGAGGUUCUGUUUUCUGCAGCCAAACCCAUCUCGUGCGCAAGGACCAGCCAAGGGUUUUUAAAUCUGAAAUUCCCAGGCCUCCAAGCUCUGGUGGGCCACAGACUUUGACCCAAGCCACAAGACAAUGACCACCUUUUUGCAUAUUUUCGACCCCUCCAAAGAAAGCCACGCCAAAUUUUAUUUACCACUUUGAUAGCCAUGGAGGAAAGUCGAAAGCAAUAGCUAAGUAAAUGAGCAUUCUCAGUGAGAACUGAUUGUACUUGAACCCUUCUUCCAGCCCUUGUCAUUAGGUCUGCCUUCCAGCCAGGAAGUUGAUCUGCAGUACGAUCAAUAAUAGGCUGCACUUGUUUCUUUAGGGAGAGGGGCAGACCUAAGUAUUUGCAUGGGAAAUCCGAGAGGGGCACACCUAGCUAGUUUCUUUGGCUACUGUUAUCCUUUAGGUAUUUUGCAGAACCUUUCCAUAGCAAUCCCAUUAAUCUUUAGGAAGCGAUCCCAUUUGUUAAAGCCCCUGCAGGCAACUUUCAAGUUCAUUAUUCUCGAUCACAGGUAGUCAUUCUGCAUAUUUUUCCCUCAGAAUCAUCAUAAGAAUUGGGUUAAGUGGAUAGGUCAGACUAUAGCAUGGAAAUACAUAAGUACUGAUAGGUUGUUGAAACUAUCUAAGACUACAGAUUUAUCGUGUCAAUUUGUCACAAAUAACAGAUUUUAGCUGAUGAAAUCAGUACUUCUGCAGUACAUAGAAAUACUAAAUGUGUAGUUUUAGUUUUGCAAAAACAAGGACACUAAAUUUAUAAUUCUGUGAUAAAACUUCUUAAAUCUGUAGUUUUGUGAUAGCAUAGCCCACUCACACAUAUACAAAAAAAAAGAAAAAGAAAAAAAGGAACCAUAUAGUUAUUUAUGUGCUUAGAUUCUAGGCCCUAGAACUAGAACCUAUAGCUGUGUUACACUAUUAUGAAUUCCUAGUCCGUGCCUGCUUGUGCAGGACACUUUUCUACUUGAUCAGCUAAAGUCAGCACCUGAGUCUUUUAACAGGAUAUGAUCGAGAAUGUCCUGGAAAUUAAAGAUACACAGGUGAGGGAAGUAAUGACGCCUUUGGUGGACGUAGUUGCAAUUGAUGCUAUUGCAACACUUAUUGAUUUCAAAAACUUGUGGGAAACUCAUCAGUACUCUAGGUAUUGUCAACUAUUAUUGUCGCGUGUAUUUUCAAGUCUUAUCACUGACAUCUGCUGCUAUUUGUUAUUUCCAGAGUUCCUGUAUUUGAGGAGCGCAUAGAUAAUAUUGUUGGAAUUGCAUAUGCAAUGGACAUGCUUGAAUAUGUUGAAGAGGUAUGUCUCUUGUUUACCAUUUAAUGUAAAACUUAAUCACAGUGAGUCUUAUUUGCUCCACAUGAUGCUUCUCUAAAGGGAAAGUAAAAGGUGUAUUUUUCUUUUGAAGGUUGAGAAGCUGAAUGAAAUCACUGUUAAGAAAAUCGCACAUAUGCCUACAUACUUUGUUCCAGGUAAUUUUUAGUAACAUUGUUGGAUACAAGUAUCAUGAUGAACUAAAAGAAGGCAUCUGUCAGUAGUUAUAGGGUUGGAUGUUUUUCCACAACAAUUAAUCAUUUCUGCCACAUGUUUUCUCCCAUCUAUGCAUCAUGGAUGUAACAUAUGAUACUGUUUCAUCUGGCAGAUUCAAUGUCUGUUUGGAACCUAUUAAGAGAGUUCCGGAUCAGGCAGGUUCAUAUGGCAGUGGUCCUUAAUGAAUAUGGUGGAACUAUUGGUGUAUGUCCCUAUGAAACCCAUUUUUUAUACUUUACAAACUGGACACAGUUUAGUACUUGUUAAUAUUCUUGUUAUGCUUUCAUCCAAGGCUAGUUGCUCAAUUGAGACCAUUUUGACUUAUGGCACACAACGAGGUUCAACAUUGUUUACUCCAAUCAAUUUUUAGUUGUAACUUCCAAGCAUGCUAGUUAGUUUGCUAAUAAUUGAUGAAUGCUAGUCAGUACAUGGUGACAUUUUGAUGGCCAUUUAUUGGCAACACUACUGGCUUUUGUUCCACAAUGGUCGUGUUUUUAGCACAAGCAUGUGGUGCGAUGCUUCAAGUGAUCUUGCUGCACAGCUUAUGUAACUGCAGCAAUGGGGCACUUUUCAUCUGUUGCAGUAGCAGUCCCUGUUGUUCAUGGUUUGUUUCCUUUUAAGAUAUACCCCACACAUAGAGAUUAGUUAUGCUCCAUGCAGCAGAGAUUAUUACUUUCCACAAGUUUAGAGAUUGUUUCUUAGGAAGUAGUUAUGCUCACAGUUUGUUCAUCAGUUUCUGUUUUCAGAAGUAGUUGAUGAGCGAUGAACAUGUUUUGAUUAUGUUUGCUGCUGAAAGGAUAAUUCUUUAAGAUGUUUUUCUCAUUACUGAUGCUCAUUGGUAAAAGUUGCAAAUGAUUGGACAAAGCUACUACCCGUGAGCUUCCUUUGUCUCACAUACCCUUCGAGCAAUUACGCUUUAAUGUAGCAAUAUCUAUCCAUUACUUGCAGCAACUAAGUCCUAUUGUAUUCAGAAAUGUUUAUUAGAACAGUUUGUAAUUUCAUAUGUUUAUCACUGCAUGGGACAUUGGGAAUUACUCUGACCUUUGGCCAAAAAAAAAUGCAGAUUGUAACACUAGAAGAUGUAGUGGAAGAAAUAGUUGGUGAAAUAUUUGACGAGAAUGAUUCCAAGGUGAUUAUUUCUGGAAUUUUUUAUUUCAAAUCGCAAGUGGGUGUUCAGUGCCAUACAUAUGCAUGCUAUUAUUUUCUAUUUCUUUUUCAAAAUUAUUUCCCCCUUUCUUUUGGUUUAUUAUUCCCUUUUUGCCUUGUAACUAUCGUUCUUAUAUUACAUAACUGACUUUUCAUAUGUUGGUAAUAAAUAAUGAUAUGCUAGCAUUUGAACUUACGAAAUUUAGUGGGCCAAACAUACUGAGCCAUGCCAAAAAAGACAGGCAAAUCAUACAGUCAUAUUUUAGCAGCAGCAGUGCAUUAGCGCGGUGGGUACUGAGCCGGAGUUUGCAUGUGCCUGAAGGUGGCUGAAUGAAUAAGGUGGAUAUUACCCUACCCGCACCCAAAUCAAAAUGUGUAUUUUAUUUCUACCCAUACCCUCCCCAAUUAAUGCGGGUGUGGAUUUGAAUAUGGGGAUUGAAUAUCCAGCGGCAGGUAUAAAGAUUAGAUCUCCUGCCUCAGUGCUUCUCCAAGAUCUGGAAGCAGCUGCUUCACUCCUAUUUUCUGUAUCCUAGUCAAAACAAAGGAUUUUUCCAUGUAGCAAGCUAGUUGCUCUUUGUCAUUUGCUUAGGCAGUCUCUCAAUUCCUUCUGCUACUCUGUUUUUCACCCUUUCAGGAGGAAAUCCAGAAGAAAACAGGCUAUAUAGUGAGGCGGGGAGAUGGAACAUUUGAUGUUGAUGCAAAUACAUCAAUAGAUCACCUCUCUGAAGAGCUUGGUAUCAAAAUACCAGAGGUAUUGUUUCUCAUUUGAUCUUAGCUUUCUCUACAGUUGCUAUGCAUUCCCUUGGACAUGUGUAUAUUUAAGGAAGGUAUGGCUCGGAAAAUAGUAGAUUGAUUAUGAGUAGUACAAAAGGGUAGGCAAGGAUGAUCUGGGAUUUAUAGAACAAUACCCAAUCAGGGAGAUCCUUGCCUAAUAGCUAAUCAACUACAUAAAACCCAUGGAGGCAGGCUUAGGUGCCAGGGCCCAUGCGGCCAGCCCAAUAGCCCUCUGGAAACUCCAUUCUAACAUAUAUGUUGGAGUGGACACUGUAUGAUGAUCAUCGAAAUGUGAGUUCCAUCAUUUAGAGAUGCCUGGUUUGCAGAACCUAUACAGAUAUAACGUUAUUAUAUCUAUUUUUUGGUGGAAACUGGACAUUUAAUAUUUAGGUCAACAAAAUAUUCACAAAUGUUCUGUUUGUAAAAUAUGCCCUUGGUAGUCAUCAUUUAUAUGGUGCUCUGUAUUUCUGUCAUGUUUCUCGUAGAUUGGCUGAUAAUCUUGAGACACUUGGACACUAUCUUUUGGCAGGGGCAUCAGUAUGAGACGGUGUCUGGUUUUGUCUGUGCAUCUUUUGGCUAUAUUCCAGAAGAAGGUGGGAAAAUGCUUGUGAUUCUUGAAAAGGAUUACAGAGAAGAAAACGGUGAAUAUCAGGAGGAAGGUUCUGAUCGCCAAGAUGAUAGAGAAAAAACUCAAGCUUACGAACUUGAGGUAAUUGUUACAACUCCUUGUGUACUCUGUUUGCUCAAGAGUUCUAGUACCAGGUCAAUUAUUAUAAUGCGAUUAUCUUGUCAUCGCUAGAAAUCUUUACUAGUAUAUAUAACUAUUAUGAAUUUUCCUUCAUUACUUGAAAGCUGAAAGACACCACAAAAGCUUCAAUUUUCUUUGUUGAUGCAAUACCAUGAAACCUUUUUUGUUAAAUAACUCUCAUUAGAACCAAUUUUCCAUACAGGGCAUUUGGUUCUUAGAUCAUUUUAUAGGAUAUUUCGUACUAUAAGUAAGAACCAACUACUAUCCACAAUUACCUCUACAUGCUUGUUUGUGCAUAUAAAAAGACAACAAUACUCAGAAGGUUGCUGUAACAUGUCCACACUCCGCUUUUGUGGUGCUAAUACUACCGAACAUUUGUAAUUGCUUUUUUUAUUUGAAGCUAAAAAAAGAAAGUAUACAAAAACUAAUAGAUAAGAAAACCAACUACUCAAUUGUCAAUUCAGAAUUCAUACUGUGGGUUAUAAGGUUAUUUCAGUGAAAUUGUUUUGGUAUUGGUACACAACCUUUAUUAGUUGGUGCAACUCCCAUUUCCGGAAGUCUUCGUACACUUUAAUUGAAUUGCUGCAGCCCUAGGAAUCCAUAGUUUCUGUUUCACAAUUCACCCAAAGUUUCAUUCUUUGUUGCAGAAUUAAAUAACCUUCUGUAGUUGUUUUCACUACCUUUAUUACCUGGCUUCUCUUGCUCACAGAUAGUGGAAGCUAAUGCAAGGAAGGUGGGCAAAGUCCUAUUUAAGCCAAUAAGCAGUGAAUGUGUUGGUGUUGACAACAAGGGUGUGAACCGCCUGGUCUCCAAGAAGAUCAUCAAACGGAAGAAGCAGGGCUAUGAUGAUUCCUCCGGUGACGAGUAUCCAGAUACAACAGAGAAUGGCUGCCCUGCUGAGGCACUCUCCUACUCGGAUGGUAACAGUGCCUUGUUGGAAGAUGCAAGCAGUUCUAGUGCCAAGAGGUGACAAUAAAGGAACUCCAAGACCAUCGUACUACUGGUAAUAAUUACAGCACACCGUCACCGGUCCUAAUACCCCUUGUUACAACAGAAGAAGAUGAGAAGAACAUAGUAGUAGGCUACCCAAAAAAAAAAACUGCGAGAGCAACACCAAGAGGUUAACAGCAGUUUAAGGCAUUGCAACAUUUUUCAGUAGCAGGAGUAGCAGUAGUAGCAGUCUAGAGGUGCAGCGAGGUGUCGACGUCGACUUCACCAGAGACAUGUUUGUAGUUGUAGGUCUUACUGGGCCACAGCUCCACCGCAAUGGGGUCGCUAUCGCCGUGGAGCUGGAAGCUUUUGCAUUCACAGACAGUGGUUGGCACGGCCGGGAAUAAGGAGGCUGCGGCGGCAACAGCGGCAGUGGUUUCCCGCAGCGGCCUGCACGGGUAGAGCAGCUCCGGGUGGAAGAACCACUUGACGGGCAUCUCCCUCGGGGAGGCGGUGGCCGCAGGGCGGGGGGCGAGCACGUGGAGAAGCCUCUCCUCCCGCUUCUCCCUGAUCCUCUCCAGCUCCCUGAACCUCUGCUGCAGCAGGGCGAUGGAGGAGAACAUCACCUGGCCUUCGCUGCUCUGCACCCCCAUGAUGACUGGGCGAGAGGGGGAGCUCUCACUCCAGCUCCGAGUUUCAGUUACGUGUUCGUGUCGUGUGUAUCUCACUCAAGCGUCUGUCUACUUCGCUCGGUGUGUGUGGGGGUUUUGCUUGCUGCUUGAAGGGGUGGUGGUCUUGGGCAUGUGCGUAUUUAUAAGCCGCAAAGUUUUGUCACGGCGCAGGGCGUCGUCUUGUGGUCGUCUUGCAAGUUGCGCCAAUUCUUUCAUCUUCAUCUUCCAUUAUGUGAUGCUAUGCCUGUUUGUGUGUUUUGUUUAUGGGCUGAUUGAAAAACAAAAGAGGCACUAUUGGUAUGAGAGAGAAUCUGGGAGGAGAAUGUCACGUCGCCCGAGAAAGGAAGUGGGAGGCGUGCAGGUGAGAGAAUAAGGGGCGUGGCGUGGGAGAGUCCAAGGAAAUGGGGCUGUGGACGCUUGCGCUUGUUCCGUUCCUGGCGGUGGGAAUCGCCGUGUGCCGUUGUGAUGUGCGGGGUGGCCAUGAUUGCGCCUCUGUUUGUCUGUCACCUUUUUCCCUUGCGCAUUGCUGCAGCAGCAGGGCAGGGGAGAGGUCUGCAUGCCCUGCCAUGCCCUGCCCUGCUGCUCGUACUAGCUCGCUACUACUCCCUUCCCCCUCUCCAUCCAAACGGGCACUGCGAGCUUUUCCUGGUCUAUAAUGGCGUCGUUGGAGCUGUAGUACGUGCUGUUCGUAGCAACUGUGGGCAGCGCUUUCAGGUGUGGAACUGUGCACUCCAUGAGCCAUUGUCUUCGUUUGCGUGUGUGAACGUGUUGGAGAGUCUGGGAGCAGAAAGUCUGCGUUGAACGUUACUUCUUUGGGUCUUUGACUGGUGCGUCCAUAGAUCUGUGAAUGGGAGCGCUGAUUGCACGCUGCGUAGUACAGUGCGUUCGAGUAACGCUGAGACGGCGUGCUGCUUUGAAGUUUCAACUUUUGGUUAAUUCAGGAAAGUUGAUUGAUCUUAUGUUUUUUGACGGCCAGGUAAACACGGCCAAUUGCACCGGCGUCAAAAAGACCUCUGUCAUCCGAUGCUUUGGACAGUAAUUGAGAUAUUCGUAACAAAUGCUUCACUACCCGAAGAGAAAACUAGUUUUCGUUGGUUUCCGCAUUUUGUGAAAAUAAGAAAGGGCAUGUUUGAGUCAGAGUCGGGUUAUUAUAAUUGGAUUAUCGACUCUAAUAAUUAGAGUGCUAGAUUUUUUGUGGUGGAACCUAUCCAUUUCUUGCCUAGCCAGCCAACUAUCAUGAUGCUACAUGGUAUUUAAGUAACGACCAUUUUCUCAAAUGGUCAAGGAUUAUAUUCUUCUUUGAUUUUUUUUUCCCUUCAAGUGGCCUAGGGUUUUGUAGUCUAAUGUGAACAAUAUCAGGUGAAAACAAAAUAGCAUCAAAGAAUAGAUAGCCAAAAUGCCUAACGAAAAGGAAAAUUGUGGGUUACAUGUCUCAUGAAUUAUUUGAUGAAGUAGAAUAAGAUACGUUCGGUUAUUUGAGAGAAAAAAAAACUGCACAACAUAAAAAAAUAACUGUUUGCCUAGUUGGCUAAGAAAAAAUAUAGUGGGCUCCAUGGCUCCUAAGACUCUUUAAAUAUCAUGUAAAUGGAUAUAAAAGAAGUCAAUAAAUCAUUCUGCUGAUAUUGACUGAAUUAUUUGCUAUCAACAAUUAUCCAAAAAAGAUUUCUUUAAGAAUAAUAUUUCUACCAUGUAAAACAAGAAGAAAAAGACAAAUUAAUCGGAACUUUUGUUUGUGGCUGGAACUAUUGUAAAUGUCAUUGUUGAGUUGAGAUAUUUUUUUUUUGAAGUUCCCUUUUUGCGAGGAAUGAGUAAUCUGAACGUUAUUUGUUUGUGGUUGUUGAUUCCCUGGAGCUGUUAUAGAAGUCAUUAUUGAGUAGAGAUUUUUUGAAGUUCCUUUUUGCAACGAAUGAGUAAAUAGUUGCAUAGAUGUUUGAUGGUAUUAGCAUACUCUGCUUCUAAAAUAAUGAAAGGGAUUUUCCGUUACUAUUUAGUUGUGGACUGAGGCCUGAAGAAGUAUGUUUUGAAACUCGGAAUUUCAUGGAGGAUUUGUAGGAAUCCCAUAUAUAAUAAACAUGUCAAAAUUAAUCCUCCUAUAUUUUCUUGGUCAUUUUCUAGAGCUAGGCUCAUUUAUCUUUAAUUUGUCUAGUGAAGAGUAUAUGUAUAUCCUUUGCUCCAAACAUGUAGUGGUGAGUGGAGUUUACUAAUAUUAUUAUGUGUAGUUAACCUAGAACUAGAAGCUUGGUAACUGAGCCUUAUCUAAUCUGGCCCUAAACUAACUUAUCAUCCAAACUGAUCAGUUGGAGUCUUGUGACGAUGAUAUCUCUGGUUUGUUGUGGAACGGGACUAGUACUGCCGGACAUAUUAUACAUUGGAUGCAUGCGACAUAUAUACAGUGUUGAACUUGUUUAUAUUAAUUUAUCCUGGAUAGCCAAUAGUAGCCCAUAACAUUAACAUGCAACAUAGUAUAUGCAUUUGCAUGUACUGCUAGUUCCCUGCUACGUACGAUCCUGACAGUAGGCACCUAAUCUUUCCAUGCCCCAAUAUUUUACCGCCGCUGUCGCUUCCAUUCUAGAGAGAGAACAAUAUGACCAUCUUGUAAAACAUUCUAGAGAAGAGAUGCAUGGAGAGUAUGGCAAUAAUUUAAGCAGAUUGAUGGGAGCGAGAUAUUUUUAAAGGCAGAUCAUCGAUUGAUGCAUGGGAGCGAGAGAGCUUAGCAGAGAAAAUAAAGAAGAUUGGUGAUUGGUGAUAGGCCGGGGCAGCCGUGGUGCAGCAGCAGCUAGAACUAGAGAAGCUAAAAGGAAGGCUGAUGGCAGGGCAGGGCAGUAGUUUAAGGACGGGUCCAUGCCUGCAGCUAGCUAGCAUCUAUCGACGUUCCUCCGUUGUCGCGGAGCCGGUGGACGCGAAUGGCAUGCGUGGGUGCACUACCCUGCUGAUGCACACAGCAUGCAUUGCUGCCUGCAUGCGACAUGGUAUACAGCUCCCGGCCGGCGUCUCUCCUCUCCUCUCUUCUCUUCUCUUGUCCAUCCAUCGGCAGCAUACGGUCGGUCACUCGCAGCAUGCAUGCUCCUCUGAUCGAGCUCUGCUGGUGUCGUGUCGUGUCGUCGAUGGAUCGGGGCCGGGUUGGGUGUUGCUGCAUUGCAUGCUCCCUAAAGCGCCGCCCUUGUUGCCAAAGUGAAUGCUGCCGACGACGACCGCCGCGCCGCCCGUCUUCUUUUUCGGCGGAGGGGGGCGGCCGGGCACGGGCACGGGCACGGCACAGUCUUCCGGGCAGGGGCAGGGGCAGCCGGGCAAGCCAACACCUGCUAGCGGACGAGAAAUUGAAUCGAAUGGGAAACAAAGAAAAAAUUGAUGGCUGAUGGCUCCAUCUUUCUUUCUGUCUGUCUGUCUGUCGGUCAGUCAUUUUACUAAUUUAUUUGACUGCGCUACGGAGACGACAGUGUAACAUUUUUAUUUGUAUUUAAUAAUUAUUAUUUAACUAUAGACUAAUUAGGCUCAAAAGAUUCGUCGCGUAAACUAUAGACAAACUGUGCAAUUAGUUUUUAUUUUCGUCUAUAUUUAGUACUUUAUACAUGUGCCACAAGAUUUGAUAUGACGGGAAAUUUUAAAAAGUUUUUGAAUUUCGAAGUGAACUGGUCAAAUAUGCAAUGCUUGUACGUGCGCACUAGUUUAUGCCAAUGAUUCAUUUUUCGCGGAUCCUCCGAAUUUCACACCAUACAGUCAGAAUAUAAUUGCUCCAAGACACGUCAAUUUUGAUGCGUCAAUUUGUGCAUGUGGUUCCUGGCACUACUGGAUCCGGCUUCUUUGCCGAGAGCCGCGAGCCCUCGGCAAAUGCCUAAAAGCCCUCGGCAAAGGCUUUGCCGAGGGCCAUAAACGCCCUCGGCAAAGCCUACGGCGCCGUCGAAAAACGUCAAUAUUGACGUCGUCUUUGCCGAGAGCCAUGCUGGCAGGCUCUCGGCAAAGAUUCUUUAUUUUUUUUAAAAAAAGCCUUUGCCGAGAGCCCUGCAGGAAGGCUCUCGGCAAAGAACCCCUUUGCCGAGAGCCAGACAUCCAGGCUCUCGGCAAAGAACCCCUUUGCCGAGAGCCAGACAUCCAGGCUCUCGGCAAAGCUGUAGUUCUUCUGAACCCGGCUUUCUAUCUUUGCCGAGUGCCAGCCAUCCAUGCUCUCGGCAAAGCUGAGAAUUUAGUUUUUUUUUCUGUUUUUUAUCUGUUUUUUACAUGCACAGCCACAUAUGUAUAUAUAUAUAUCACAAAUCCCUUUGUCUAUAUCACAAUCCACAUAUAUAUCACGCAUGAAACAUAUCGAAGUCCACAGAUAUCACAAAUCCACAUAGAUAUGACAAAUAUAACAUUACGUCCAACAUAAACCAUAAGUCACCACAAGUUCAUAACAUAAACCACAAGUCCACGUGAAUAUCACUCCUCGAAGUCGCUAGCGCCUCACCCCUAGUGCUGUGACUCUGACCUGUCGUCGCCGUGGCCUCCGUCGUGUCCCGAGCCUCCAUCUGGCCAAGCCGACCAGGGUGAGUGCCCCCCAGGGUGUGUAGAGCUCGCACCUGCCCACGGCGCCCACAUGGCCUGCCCUGGCACCGACGGGUACGGGUACGAGUACCCGGGGCGCGGAGGAGGGCUGCCGGACAACCCGGGGUGGCCGUGCUGCGGAUGGGCACCAGGCCACGUGUGCUGCGUACUUGGGUGGCCAUAAGUAGUAACCUGCCACCCACUCCUUGGAGAAGGGGUCGGGUUCGAACCCCACGACUGAUGCUACAUAAUAUAAAAGCGAACUCAUUAGUAUCUGCAGGACGGCCACACAAGCCAAAGCAAUAGACAAACAUAUAUACACUCACCGGACUGCCUGCAGGGGCAGGAACAGGGGGUGGAACAGGGGGUGGAGCGAAGAGCGAGGCAGGCAGCGGAGGCGCUGUAGAGCUGUGGAUGGACUGGAAGUAUCCGACUAGGUCCGAGAUCUGACGCUGCGUGUGCUGCUGCUGUGCCUCCAUGUGGCGCCGAUGGGCCUCGUCUCUGGCCGCCAGCGCGGCCGCCAGCUCUCGCCGAUGAGCCUCCUGCAGCUCGUCCUGCCUGGCCCGCAACUCCUCUAGCUGCGACUGCAAUAUUACACCCGCAAUGGUUAAACAAUGCAAAAGGAGAUGUAUAUAUGUAAAAAUAAUGGACGAUGGAUAAAGCUGUAGUUACCUGCAUCGUAGCUAUCUGCUGCACGGAGCUCGGCUGACGAGGCCGUAUGGGGACGUCGGAGGUCGAGCUGCUCCCCUGCCGAACCUCGCGGAGCGUGGGUACGGUGGCCGGGUUGAUUGCGCUGUGGGCAAUCAUGUACCGGCCGUGCUGCUUCCCUCCUCCCGUCCUCAUGAGCAAGUCCGUGUCCGAGACCCUUUGCCGUGGGCCGUCCAGUCUGGCUCUCGGCAAAGACCCUUUGCCGUGAGCCUAACGCGCAGGCUCUCGGCAAAGAACUGCUGACUUUUUUUAUUCUUUUUGAAUUUAGAGCUGAGUUUUUUUUUUUGUCCUUGUGACUCAAUUUCUAAAUACAUUUUAAAAUUUGGCAUUAAUUUGACUUUUUUUGCUAUAUUUAACUAAUUAAUCUUGUUUCUUUAUAUUUUUUCACAUAAUUCAAAUUUCAACUGUAGGUACAUGAAAUAUUACAACUCAAUGAUUCGAAAAAUGAUAGUCAAGAUAUUUGGUGUACGUUGAGGUCGUAACCACAACCACACAUGAAAUCUCAACCCUCUCGCUAACAUAACAUGUCAAGGAAUGUGAGGGAAAAUGGAUUUAUAAUUAUAUAAAUUUCAAAUAAACUCCAAAAAUCACGAAACUUGGCGACGUGUCGUGUUAUCGCAUGUGGAGGCUGUGGUAAAAAAUUCAUAAGGUUCCGAGCAAGUUGCGACACCGGAUGUCUAAAACCCAGACAUCUCCACAUGUUAUCGAAUGUGAUCACAUGCGGAGAUGUCUGGGUUUUAGACAUCUCGUGUCGCAACUUACUCGAAACCUUAUGAUUUUUUUACCACAGUCUCCACAUGCCAUAACAUGACACAUCGUCAAGUUUCGUGAUUUUUGGACUUCAUUUGGAAUUUAUAUAAUUAAAAAUCACUUGUACGACACAUGGAUGGUCAUGUUUUAUAUACAAGAAAUUCAAACUCUUGGGUGAGUUUAUGGAUACAACAUCAAAAUGCAGUCUUGAACAUGAGUAUAAUUUUUUGAAUGACUAUAUUUUAUUAUUUCAUGCUCCUACAGUUCAAAAUUACUUUUUCGAGAAAAAUACAAAUAAAAUAAUUUAAUUAAAAAAUAUAGCAAAAUGUUAUAAAAAGCUCUCAAAUUUGAACAUGUGCUUAUAUACAAUAUGUAAGGGUUACAGAAAAAGUUUGAGUACAAAACUAAAAAAAAUCUUUCUUCUUUGCCGAGAGCUUGACAAGGCACUUGGCAAAGGCCUCCUCUUUGCCGAGAGCCUAACGCCGUGGCUCUCGGCAAAGGUGACGACAACGGUUGCCGUUACCAGCGCUGCUCCUUUGCCGAGAGCCUAUCUUUGCCGAGAGCUAGGCUGUCGGCAAAGCUAGCCUUUGCCGAGGGCUUGCCUUUGCCGAGAGCUUGACCAUCGGUAAAGUUUCUUUGCCGAGGGUCGUUUCUGACUGUCGGCAAAGGCAGUCUUUGCCGAGGGCUAGCUCUCGGCAAAGCUGAGCCCUCGGCAAAGCUCUCGUUUCCUGUAGUGUGGGCUUUGAAUUGAUCGAUGGCAAAAAGCCGUAAUGGAAGCACGUCGCGUCUUGAAUGCAUGCACUAUAUAGGAAUAUAGCUACACAAAAGAAGAGAAAUAAUGACACACAUAGUAGUAGCUAGCUAGUAAAGUGUGUAUGUAAGGCCUUGUUUAGUUCCCAGAAAAUUUUGCAAAAUUUUUCACGGUCCCCGUCACAUCGAAUCUUUAAACGCAUACAUAAAGUAUUAAAUAUAGACGAAAAUAAAAACUAAUUGCACAGUUUGGUCGAAAUAGACGAAACGAAUCUUUUGAGCCUAGUUAGUCCAUGAUUGGAUAAUAUUUGUCAAAUACAAACGAAAGUGCUACAGUGUCGAUUUUGCAAAAUUUUUCGGAACUAAACAAGGCCUAAACCUAAAAGCCCAUGCAUUAUUGCUUUUUAAAAAGUUAAAGCGGUGAUGGAUGGUUUUGUUCAUGGCUCGAGGAGGAUGUGUCCUAGCUAGUUGUUGGUGGGGGAGGUGAGAGUACCUAGGAAAAUUUGCUUACAUUUUCCUGUACAUGCAUGCAUGCAACGCUAAUUGGAUGGAUAUGGUCGGAACAUGCAUGGGUCCACCAUUCACAUCUCUUGGUCCUACACGCACGCCUACUAUUGUGAUGCGUCUCAGCUUUUUAAUGUGCCUGCGUUGCAUGCAUGCAGCUGGGUACGUAAGGACACGCCGCAAGCUGCCCAAACUCUAGCUCUGCUUCCCGCAUUGCAUUGCAUUGUAUCUACCUCGUGGCGCAUUAGGGUUAGAGAGAGAGAGAGAGAGAGAGAGAGAGAGAGAGAGAGAGAGAGAGAGAGAGAGAGAGAGAAGUGUGGUAUAGCUAGCAUGCAUCCAUAUAUAUCCGAUCGACCUGUAGUUCAUGGCACAUUCAUUAGGUUUGGAAGAGUGAGAUCGAGGCAGGACGAUAUGUAGUACGUCGUCGUCCUUCGUAUAAACGGACAUUCGCUCAAUGUUGAAUUGUUGACAGACGACGAUGCGCGCGGCACUUUGUUUGACCAUGCAUGCAUUCAUCCGUGCAUGCAUGGAGCGUCUAUGUGCUUGUCCCUGAAUAAACUAAUUAAUCACUGCACGAACUCGAUCGCCUUGCUGUCAACUUAGCUUAGCUUAUUACAAGUGUGUUAACGACAAGCAAUCAUGGAAAUGAGCUGCAUAUAGACACUGUUCACAAUGCACGUUAUGUUGGAGCACUAGCUAUAGCUAAUUAAUGAGCCAGCAAUUAACAAAACGCCUGCUAAACCAAAAUAUGCAUUUAAGCCAUGUUUCGUUUCCUCCGGUAAAGUUUAACUCCUGUCAUAUCGAGUGUUUGGACACAUGCAUUAAAUAUUAAAUAUAAAUUAUUUACAAAACUAAAAUAAAACUAGAGAGUAAUUUGCGAAAUAAAUCUUUUAAAUCUAGUUAGUCUAUAAUUAGAUACUAAUUGUCAAAUAAAACAGAAAUAUGCUAUAUGCUACAGUACAUCCUUAACCGGCAAGUACAGGCCGGGUGAGGCAUGUCGGAUGCUAGAGAUGGCCAAAUGGGCUAAGCCCAAUAAUACGCAGCCUAAGCACAUAUGGGCCUACUAAAGCAUCGCAUUACAUUAUGGGUCGAGCCACUAUGUGUCUCGUGCCCUUUUUUACCAUUCAAAAUGGGUGCUCUCAGGAUGGAUCAUAAUUAUGCCCCUUUUUAAUUCGAGAGCAAUGUUGAUCAAAUUUCGUCGUAGUUGCAGCACAGCCAAAAAAAAAAACUAACAAAAAGAGCCUGUCAGACAACCCAUGGGCCAUCCCAGCCAGGCAAGCCUGGCCGGAAACGAUCAUCUACAGCACCGGACAAAGCGUCAGAGCCAAUCCUGGCCGUUAAUCACGCUCUGGCCCACAGGUCAUGGCUCAUCAACCAGGCUUAAGUGCUUGCCUCCUUAUUAAUCAAGGAUGCAGCGGUACGAUCCUAUAGAACAGAUCCUGUUCAAGUAAGGUCGU